UUCCCUUCAAACUACUAGCAACAGCUGCAAUGGCAACAGGCAAUCCUUUACAUUCAUUGGAAAUUAAUCUUCCCAGAUUCUUUAAGGUAUCAGGGGUGUUUUUAGAUAUAAGUGCUUUAUUUUGGAAAAGAGUCCACGCUUCUUCAUCCGUUAAAAUUGGCAGGUAAAUCUUUCUUUGGCAAUCCAUUGAAGUACAAACUUCUUCUGAUCUAGUGGUAAUGAGAAUCUUGCAGACUGUAUGAUGUUCAGAGGAGGGAAUCCCAAUGCCACCAAAGUCAAGCUUCUCCCACACAUCAUCUAAAAUCAUAAGAAUGUUUUUCUCUUGGUUUAAUCUCAAGCACAAUCGUUGGGCCCUCUCCAUUACUUCAGUUUCUGGAAAUGUAUACUGCAGUGAACUUGCAAUUUUUUCUUGGAUCCUUCGAACUUCCACUGUACUAGAAAUAGGCACAAAAAGAACUUUUUCAAAACAAUGUUCUGCUUCUACUAACUUCAUAACCUCCAUUGCUAAUGUGGUUUUACCACACCCCCCCAUCCCAUACAAUCCAAUCAUGGCAACAUCAUUAUUUUUCACUGCUUCGAGCAGCUUCUCAUAUGUAGAUUGUCUACUCUCAAAAUUCAUGCAUUUUUCUGUGAGAAUAUGAAGGGUGCCUGAAGGAAGUGUAGCAAUGCGGUCAAAUGGCACAUAUUUUCUACCCUCUGCAAUGAACUUUUCAAGGUACACAUUUUUAUAUGCUAACUUUUUUCCUACACGAUAUUGCCAAAUCCAAUUUGGACAGUACCCAAAGCAACAGAAUUUUUUGGCUUUUGCCUCUUUCAACAACUGAUUCACAUUGUCUACGUCAUUAAUAGCAUCUUGCAACCACUUGUCAACAACUUCACUAGUCUUUCUUGUUUGUUUCUUGGCAUUUGUAACAAAUUUUUGGACACUGUCUUUCGUUACAAUCAAAUCGCGCUCUUCUUCUUCAAGUUUUUUUACGAAAUUGUUAAAAUCACAAGGAUAACGUAAUUGAUUUAAUGCGCCACAUACUAAAUCUCUUGAAACAGAAGAUGCAAAACCCAAGAGGCACUCCAUUAAUUUGUUCCACCAAAUGCACCUUUCUUUUAGCUGAACAAGAGAAGAUGAAUACUCUAUAGUGAGUUUUAUCAGUAUAUUUAGAUGUAUUAGAUAACAAAAAAAUUUAAGAUCAUUUGUUGCAUUACAUAUUGCAGUAUGGCACUUUUAUAGUAAAAUUACAUAAAAAAAAUUAUGAUGUUAUGUUUAGUAAUUAGAUUUAAUGUUUUAUAUCUUAAAUAAUGAAUUAUUGGACACACAAUAGAAAUAAAAAUAAAUCUAAUACUUUAAUGAUUAUUUUUAAAAGUUUAUGUGUGAUAAGAUUUUUUAAAUGUCCUUUUAAUGACUAAGAAAAUUUUAUCAAACAUAUUUAUUUUUAAAUAAUUUUUUUUAAUAAAUUCUUAUCCUCCAUCCAAAAAAAAUUAUAUUUAAACAUGUGCUUAAAUGACACCCAAGUAGAUCAAAAGAUUUGUUAAGUAGGAAAAAAAAAGUGAACGAGUAAAAAAUGUAUUUAACCAAAGCUUAAAAUAUGCAUUAUAUAUAAAGUUAAUAUUAUAUAUAUUUUGUAAGUUUAAUUUUAUUUAAAUUUAUACAAGCUCUUAGAUUAUAGCACUUUUUAUAAAAUUUGCAAAUAGUAGAAGAACAAAUGUUGGUAAUUCCUAAAAAAUUGUAAAUAUUCAAUAAAAUAAAAUAAAAUAAUCUAAAAGGGUACUUGAAAUUUAAUUAAGUCUAAAAUAAAUAAUUUUUUUUAGCUAAUUGCAUAUACUCAAUUACAUUGAGAUGAGUUAGACUUGGUACUUUAUGAGCUCUUCUCAAUUUAAACCAAGACUCGAGUGCUUUUAAAAUUCUACACAAACUUCUAUUGUUUUGAAAACGUUACAUUAUCACUGUUUCUUACAUCACACAUGCAAUUUCAUUAAAAACAGUUAAUAUAGGUAUAAUUCAAUUUCAUUAAAAACAGUUAAUAUAAGUAUAAUUUUUUAGAAUAUUAAAGAGUAUGAUUGUAUUUUACUCACCCAUUCAUUAUUCAUGAUUGGAUGUGAUUUUUAAUAAAUUUUUCCGAUGUAAAAAGUGCUUAUCUUAUACGUAUGUGGUCCGUAAUUGAUAAUGAAAUAUGAAAUAUAGAUUAUCAAUGUUUCUGCUCCGCAUUUUUAGUAAAUAUCAUUUUUAAAAGGGAAGAGAUAUAAAAAUAGGGUAUUAUAGUAGUUAAAAAUUAAUAUAAUAAAACUAAAAGUUGUAUUGUUUUAUGGAAACAUAUAUUAAUAUAUAAAAGAAUAGUUAUAAAAUUUAAAAGAUAUUACUAAAUACAUAUAUUUAUAUAUUUACCAAAUAAAUAAGAACAAAAAUACUUUCAAAAAUAGUGUAAGAAAAAGUAUCCGUCUUAUAUAUUAUCAAUGGAAAUAUAGAGACGGAUUAAUAUUAUUUUUUAUUACGAUAAAAAGAAAUAACUUUCUAAAAAUAAUUUAAAAUAUAUAUGAUAAUUAUUUUUAAGCAAAAGUAUCAUAUAAUUAUUUUUAGUAGAGAAACUAUGUACUUAUUAUUUACUAAAUAAAAUUAUAUUUAAUUUAUUAAAAGAUAAAUUAUCUAAUUAAAAAAUGACAAAAAAAAUAGUUAUAAAAAAUAUGUUCUGAUACAAAUUAUUAAUAAUAUUAAAUUAAUCAACCUUAAUAAUAAAAAAAGUGAUAAUAAAUAAAUAAUGACAAAAAAAUAAUAUUAAUAAUAUAAUAAAGAAUAAUAACAAUAAAAAAUUUACUUCUUUCUCUGUCCAUUUUGUUUCUCCAAAUCAACCUUUCUAGUUGUUUAUAUUCCCAGUUUUCACAGAUCUCAUAGUAUUUCUAAUACGAAUUAUUUUUUCAAAUCUCACAUAAAAAAACAGAUUAUAGUGUGUUUUCAUCCAUAAGAAGAAACAGAUCUAGUAGCCUGAGACUAAUUUGGAAGUGGAAAAAGAGGAAAGAUAGGUAAGGUUUGUACGUUACCUGCUUUCUUUAACUACGAUGUAGAGAGAGAUGAGAAAAAGAAGUGGUGAUCCAUGACUUCAGUACAAGAGACACUGAAACGUUAAGUUACUGCACAAACAUAAACACAAACACGUGAUCUACAGCUUCAAUUGAAAACGAAUCUAUUAGAAUUUGAAAACAAAGCAAAAGUUAACUUCACACUGAUUCAUACCUCCACAGAGAUGAAAGUACUCCAUUGCUUGAAUCGAUGAGAGAGUAAAAGAGACGCUGAAACAUUAAGUUACUGCACAAGCAUAAACACAAACACAUGAUCUACAACUUCAAUUGAAAAGGAAUCGAUUAGAAUUAAGUUAACUUCACAGUGAUUCAUACCUCCACAGAGAUUAAGAAUGAACGCACAGUUAUUCCAGCACAAGAGACGGUGAAAGGUUAAGUUACUGCAGAAACAUAAACACAAACACAUGAUCUACAGCUUCAAUGGAAAAGGAAUCGAUUAGAAAUUGAAAUGAAAGCAGAAGUUAAGCUCAGAGUGAUUGAAACCUGCAGAGAGAUGAAAGGAAUCCAUUGGUUGAAUGAAGAAGAGAGAAUAAGAGAGAAUCCUGCGAGAGAUGUGAAGAGUGACUAUUAGUCUUUUCUAUCGAUUAUUAUUAUUAUUAUCACCAUGUCCAUGAUUCAGGAAGAUGCAUCCACUUGCACUUUUAUAUCUUUUAAAACUCUUUCUGCUCUUUUUAUAUUAUAAUUAUUCUUAUCUUUUAUUAUUGCUGUGUGCAGUUUUUUUGUUAAUCAGCAGCAGUACAUUGCACACGGUAUUCACAAAACUUACCACUUAAACGGGGAAACAUCAUUCUGACAUAACAAUAAUUUAUUUAUUUAUUAAACAAUUUAAAAUUUAUUUAACCACCGAGUUGUACCAGCCUAAUUAAAGUUAAGAAGAUUAUUGUAAUUUUUUAAAUAAUUUUUACUUUUAUUUAGUAUGNNNNNNNNNNNNNNNNNNNNNNNNNNNNNNNNNNNNNNNNNNNNNNNNNNNNNNNNNNNNNNNNNNNNNNNNNNNNNNNNNNNNNNNNNNNNNNNNNNNNUCUCACCAAGACUUCUUACACAAUAAUAAAUAAGAUAACAAAUAUAUAAUAGAACAAUCAAUAUUAAAGUAAAUUGAAAGUAUUUGAUACUAUGAAAAUAUUGAAGCAUACACUACCAUCAAGAAACAAAAGAAUGAACAAUAUAGUGUAGUUGCAAGUCUUCCUUUUGAGUGAUGAAGAGUUUGAUCCUUAAUAAUAGUGAACAAUGAAAACUCUCAUGAGGAAUUUCUGGCAACCAUUCGAUUGUACUCAUAUUGACUACAUAGAAGCGACCAUUUAUAAGCCAUCUCAAACAAUUUUUGUUGAACUUUUCUUUGAUCUUCCACCAUUUGAGAAUUAUCUUUCCUCACAUUUUCAGGCUCCAUUUUGUACCUAAUAGUUUCCGCAAUGCAUUUAUGUUUUUCCUCCUCCAGAGAUGAUAAGGCAUCCUCACAAACUUUUAUUUCUUCCUUCAACCUAAUGAUUUGUUCCUUUAAAACUACUUUCUUCAGUUGAGCUUCACCAUAAAAAUUCUUUGCCUCAGAAAUCUUGGAACCAAGAGAAAUGGCCACCUCCUUUUCACGAGCUUCAAAUUUUGCCAACUUCUCAGUGGUAGCAAAGCCUUGCUUAAAGGAGCAUAUAAUGCUUGGGAACUCUUGCUGCAUAAUGCCUAUAACAUCUUUGAGUCCAUCUGAUAGAGUUACAUCUUUGAAAGGAAGGUUGGACAAGAAAUUAAGAACUGACAAAAGGCGAAUGUUGUUAGUCUCAGAGCUAACUAUGUCCUUCAAAGACAUCUUUAGAUACUUUUCCAACUCAACAAGGAUCUUUCCAACUAUGUUGUCUUCACCCUCUUUCCCCCCAACAACUGGUUCAAAUAAACUCAUGAUACCAUUGGCCCCAAAGUCUUGAAUAAUUUUAGGAUGACCUUCACUUUCUUUAGUAGUGCGUGCCUCAGUUUGACUUCUCCUAAUUUCACUCUUGGAGGAAUAAGAAGAAAAUAUAAUAGAAAAGUCGUUAGAACUAAGUCAUUGAGUUCCUUAAACCAUUUUUUAUCAAAGCAAAACAUAUUUGUAGGAGUGAUGGUAACAAAUUCAUUAAAUUUAAAUUUCAACUUGGAAUUCAGUACUUUUUGUUUUUUAAUUCCAAUCUUGCGGAAAAUGAUAAAUUGAAAUGGCAACAUCAUUUUUAUGCUGACCAAAUAUGUUGGAAAUAUGAAUUGCAUAAAAUAAACUUACAUGUGGAUGUGAUUUAGUUUGCAAAGUAAAUAUUUGGUCCAACUGUGAGUCAAUGGAUUCAGAAUUAAUUAACGAAGUUGCCAUAUUGGUGUUCUUUGCUAUGGUUUCCCCAACAUCAACUCGCUCAAUAAUACUCUGCACAAGAACAAAAAAAUAUGUAGUUUUGGUGUAUGCAGUUUUAUUUUGAAAAUGACAACAUGUGUGCCAAUAAAAUGCCUCGAUUUUAUUUUGUUUGACAUUUACCUGAGGAGCUUUGGGGCUACUUACAAUUUCUCCUAGUGGCUUUUGUUGGUUCAUCCAACACGGUUCACUAAUCCGUUGUUUGUCCACCAAUGCCUAAACAAAGUAAUGAAUAAGUGUAAAAUCAUUGUAGACUCAAUACUAUUAUUUCAUCCAAUACUCGAAAAAUAUUUUUAGACUCACAUUUGAGUGUGUUUCACGUAGAGGUAUAUUCAAGUAACUUGGACUUGGCCUUUCAACUGGUUGCGAGUUUGUUAAUGAUGUUGUUGUUCUUGGUAUUUCUGAAGUGGAAACUUUUGCAACAAAUUCCUUCUCUGGUUCUUCAUUUCUCGCAGUCACAAUGCGGUCAUUAGAAACAACAACUAUUUCACCUUCUUUGUCAACCAAAUUAGAACCUUUUUCGAAGUCACUAUUAACAUUCUGGGUCUUCACACUUGAAGAAGUUCUUUUGCAGUUUUCAUUAGGCCCAUCACCAUGUUCAAUAGUCUGGGAAUCUUGUACCAUCUCCACAAUACUAGACCUGUGUAAGAAACUUAAAUUUUUUUCUUUAUGCAUCCCAAAGAACAAAAAACUAAGAAAUAGAUGGUAUCAAUCUUGUAAGGAUUGCAGAUACAACCACAAUGUAUAUAAAAACAGAAACAGAAACAACCAAAACAUAGAGAUAUAACUUCCAAUUCACGAAAAACUAAUGCAUUUUAUCUGGGCAUCAACAAAGUCAUUUAAGACUCUUAAUUUCAUUCGUUCUUUACAUUACUUUGUAAAGAAGUUAAAUGAACAUACCUCUUAGGAUUCUCAUCCAUUUGUCUCUGUGCAAUUUCCUCUCUUAGCUUAGGAUCCCUGACCAUAACACGUUGACGCAUUUCAUCUACCCAUGAACUCUCAAAUCCAAUCUCAACAGCUUCUUCACAUAGUUUAAGGAAAUAUUUUUCUUUUUGAGGAAUAACACAAUUGCCACUUUCCUUUUGUAGGAACAAUAACAUAUCUGCCAAAAUUUUCAACCUCCAAGCUUGAAAGCGCUCACUGAACUUCUCGCUAGCAUUCCAAAGAUGAGGAUAUGUUGUUAUUGCCUCCACCAGAAGAGCAAUUUGUGCAUCAUCCAUAUCAACAAAAUGUUUAUAUGCUCCCAAUCUUGCACGAAUAUCUGCAGAAGCUGUAAAAAGUUUGAGAGGGUGAUAUGAAAAUAUAGGAUGGAAACGAGAAAAUAAGAAAUAAAAAACCUGGAGAAAUGUGAAUGUUGUUGUUAGAAAUAUGUAUUUCCUCUUGUUCAUCUAACAGAUUCAAUCCUGUCAUGCCUUCAUUCAUCUUACCAUCUUGUUCAACAACCUUGGAUACUUGUGCAAGUAUGUCCAUGCCACCAGACUCAAUGUGAGUUGCAACACCACCUCCAGUACUAAUGUCUUCAACACCACUUGACAAAGGUUUUGUCUUAUCACCCUCUUUUGCAGGCCCCUCUUCAAUGCUUUUAUUUCCUACAUUCCCAAUCUCCUGUGUAUCACAAAUUGAAAAAAUACUAUUGAGUUAGAGACUCUUAAGUUUGAAAGGACCUCAAUUUUUAAUGUACAUCAUGUGGUUGUAUGAUAGUAGUUGUGGUUGUAUGAUAGUAGUUUAAGCGAGUUGUAGUGGUUUUGUUUUCUUCAAGUGCAUGUUGAUCUUAGUAUCACAAAAUUCAUUUCUAGGUUUAGGAGUUAUUACACUUAUGUGCUAAGCUAUUUUAAGUAGAGAAGUUGCCAAACAAAUAAGAGGUGGGCUUUAAAAUUCUAAACAAGUACACUUUUUUCAAUAAAUGUUGUGAGUUUCAAGAAUAGAGUUUACAAUGAUAAAGCUAAGAUUGGUAAGGUAACUUUCCUUUUGAUUAUACUUCCUUCUUCUUCAUAUUUUAGUUUACUAAUUUCAAUGAAGUUAUCUAAUGUUGUUCCUUCUUCGACACCACUCAAAUUCUGCAAUCUGCUAAAGUAUGUUAAGUCAUUCACUUUCUCUAAUAUUUAGAAGAGUUUAUUGUAUGCAAACCUGUGAGUUAUGCUCUGAAUCCCUUUCCAAUACCUCUGAACCAGGAUCUUCCUCAAAAAAUUCCAUCAUUGAGGAAUAUAUUUUUUUUAAUUGUUGGUAGAAAUAUAUAUAAUUUUAAGAUAAAAAUAUAUUCUUUUUAUUUUUGUGACUCGUGGUCUUAUUUAUGAUCUGAAGUCUUAUUUUUUUUCUACCAUGUGAGUUAAAAUUGAAAACAAUUCUCCUAAUAAUAAGACAACAAUGUUAUUAAACAUUCAUUGAUUGGUUGGUUCUGACCUGUGAUGAAGUGAACUCACUGCUAUCAUAAUCUUCAUCUAAACAUCGCAUGAAGUCAUAUACGUCAAAAAGAUUAGUGUUUAUGAAAUCUGUAACAAAAAUAAAAUAAUAUAUAUAUAUAUAUAUAUAUAUAUAUAUAUUAGAGAAUUCAUGUGACAAUGAAACACAUAACAAAAAUGAAAUACAACCUCAACUUUCCAUGAUGCAUCACUACAAUUAAAAAUAAAAAAUAAUUUAAAAAGUUAAUUUGUAAAUAUAUUUUCUUUAGGUGAAAUAGAGGGAUUUAAUUGUGGAUUAACAGGUUUAAUUGUGGAUUGUGGAGUUUGGAUUUAACAAGCGGAUUCAAAACAUUUAGCAGUAACAGUACACUAAUGCUAAAUAAGAUAUAUAGAUUAAAUUAAAUAGGUGUAACUCAUAUAAAUUGAUUCAAACAUAAGUUAUUAAUGUGAAAAUAACUAAAAGUUAGUUUCUUUAAAUAAUUUGAGUCUAAUAAAAUUGUAUUACAUUUAAUUUCAAAGUCGUAAACCUCUUUUUUGACUUGAGAGUUAGCACUAGCAUUUACUCAUAAAAUCUUCUAACAACAUUUUAUAUUUGAAGACUUUGUAUAGUAUUUACCUUCAAAAGGAAAAUUUUCUCUGAGCUCCCCAAGAGUAGUUGUUGAAAUCAAGGAGAGUUUUGGACAUUUGUAGAUAAAACAAUUCUUUAAAUUCGGCAAUUCAGUCUCUUGGCCAAGGCUUGAAAGAUGUGUAAAUAUUAAAAGUUUGAGUCUUGGAAGCUCAAGUUUUGUCUUUCCCAACUCGUCACCUUUUCCUUGUCCACAUCCAACAAACUCUUCUAGUUCAGAGGCUCCACUUAUGAUCAAAAGAUGAAGAUUGGGAAGGUCAAUAGAUGCAGAUCCAAAGGUACAUUUUUUCAGCUUGUGGCAAUGUCCAACAUACAAUGCUUCUAGUUUUGGGAAGCAUGGCUGAGGAGAAACAAGAUUAGACCAUUUUUUAUCCUCCACAUCCUCUUUAAUGAUUUCUCUUAAUUCUUCACAUUUUCUUAUCUUCACAAUAAUCAACUCUGGUAGGCAUCUCAAAACAUACUUUGGAAAGAUUACUUCCAAUUUUGCACAUCCAAUUAUCUCUAAUCUUUGAAGAUUUGAGAAGGUAAAAGAAUUCUUUGAAGAUUCUUGUUCACAUCCAACAAUCUGCUUCAAUUCCGUGCAUUCUUUUAUGAUUAGGCCUUUCAACUUUUGUAAGCUUCUUAAAACAGAGGGAGGAAAGAUUACUUCCAAUUUUGCACAUCCCAAUAUUUCUAAUAUUUCAAGAUUUGGGAAGAUAAAAGAAUUAUUUGAAGCUUCUAUUUCACAUCCAAUAAUCUGCUUCAAUUCCAUGCAUUCUUUUAUGAUUAUGAUUUUCAACUUUUGUAAGCUUCUUAAAACAGACGGAGGAAAGAGUACUUCCAAUUUUGCACAUCCCAUUAUUUCUAAUAUUUCAAGAUUUGAGAAGGUAAAAGAAUUAUUUGAAGCUUCUAUUUCACAUCCAAUAAUCUGCUUCAAUUCCAUACAUUCUUUUAUGAUUAGGCUUUUCAACUUUUGUAAGUUUCUUAAAACAGACAAAGGAAAGAUUACUUCCAAUUUUUCACAUCCCAUUAUUUCUAAUUUUUCAAGAUUUGAGAAGGUAAAAUAAUUAUUUGAAGCUUCUAUUUCACAUCCAAUAAUCUGCUUCAAUUCCAUGCAUUCUUUUAUGAAUAGGCUUUUCAACUUUUGUAAGCUUCUUAAAACAAACGGAGGAAAAAUUACUUCCAAUUUUGCACAUCCCAUUAUUUCUAAUGUAGUAAGAUGUUGGAGAUUAACUGAAAUCUUAGAAGCCACCCAAAUAUAAGUCAUCUGAGGUAGAUUUUCCAACCACAAUUCCUCUAACCUUAAACUCACUUGUUGCCCAAUCAUUUCAUGUCCAUUAAGAAAAAAAAUACCUUCUACUUCACAAUUCCUUACGGAUAGCGUUUGCAAACUGAGGAAAUGGUUCUGAACCCCUUUUGGAUCCUGCAAGACAUUCAUAGGAAAUGCAAAAAAAAAUCUAAAAACAAAAUAAAAAGGAACAAAUAACUAAUAAUCAUAAAAAUAAAGACAAGCUACCUUCUUACUUACGCUGAUAGGUUCUCUUGAAUUGGUAGGAGCCGUCAGACAAUUAAUAGAAUUAUAAAAUGGAUAGGAACAUUCAGAACACUUAAACCUCUUCAAAGAUGGCCACGUCACACUGAAAGUGUUGGUAGUACAAAUGCUAACAAAAUUUGGUAGUUUAUAAAGAGAGAGCAUUUCCAAUGAUGAGAAAUGAAUAUGAAUCUCCUCACAAUCCUGAUUAGUUACGGGAUAUUGACCAAGCAUAUAUUUCAAUUGGCCACAAUCACUCACCUUAAGCUCUCUUAAGUUCGGGAAGAUUGCAUUCAAAUUCUCUUUGCCAUAUUCAUCCUCAGUGUCUAUAAUGUGCUCAAGUCCGUGACAUUCCUCAAUUGUCAAGAUUUCCAACAUCAAUAAUGAAGCAAUGGACCAUUUAAAAAGGUACUUUACCUUAUCAAAGCCUUUCAGUUCAAUCUCUCUUAUGUUAUGCAUAAUAAGCAAGGUCAAACCAUGUGGUUGUUUUGAAAGAUACUGAACACUUUCAAUUGGGGGAACAAAAUCUGAGUUCCAUAUCUGCAAUAUAUACACCAAGUUACUUGUUAAAUCAAACUAAUUAGUAUCUUAACUUUAAUUAUUAAUGUAUUUCAUUUCUAACAUACUAUUUGUGAAAAUUAAAAUUUUAAGAUAUACCACUCAUUGUGUAGAUUCACUUGUUUGUUUAUGAAAAUAAAUUAUUUUUGUUUAACACAAUAAGAGAAAGUUGAAAAGAGAAUAAUUUCACAAAAGUAAUAUACUACAAAUAAUCUAUCCUAAUACUUAGAUAUUAAAAAUUCAUGUUGCACCUUUGGUAUAGUGCUUGUAAGACCAUUUUUUAUUUUUAGCACAAACAUGAUUGUGCAAUUCAAAUGUUUAGAGUAAUUUUUGUAAAUACAAGACGAAAGAGAAAAAGUAAGUUAUGAUAAUCAUACCUUGAUUGCAAUAUAAUCCUCUUGUCUAGCUUUCAAAGCAUCCGUUGAACAAUUUAUUGUGGAAAAUUCAACACAUCUCCCAAUAGCCAAUGAUAGUUCUCCCAAGGAUGGACAUUUUACAUGAUAAUUGUCUAGAAUAGUGUUAUCCAUGAUACGAUCAAGUGUGAGUACUUUUAAAGCAAGAAGCUCAAUUUGAGUAUUAUUUUGUUGCAAUAAGUCACAUUCACUGAUGUAUAGCUUUUUCAAUCUCUGGAAGGUUGAAAUAUCACUCUGAAACUCAUAGCCAUCCUUGACAAUGUUUUCCUUCUGUUGAUUGACCCUUUCAUGAGUUACUAUAUGCUUCAAACUAUUGCACCUUUUUAUGAUCAAUUUUUCCAGAGAAGUCAAGGUCUUAGCUAUAGAUGCUGUAAAAAUUGAGCCUAACUUCGGACAAUCUUUUAUGCUAAGGAUUGCAAGGCUGGAUAAAGUUCCUGGCAACAAAUUACAAAAAAGAAAAAUAUCGUUCAACACAUUAGAGGACAUUAUAUAUAUGUUACGUGUGCAAGUUACAUUCUGAUUUUAACAACAUUGGUUUCUAGGGACUAAACCACAAUCCUAAGCAUCAAACGAUCGGUUAAUAGUGAUGAAAAGAAUCAUACAAAAUAAUUUUCUUUAAAUAAUUCUAAAUUGUCUAAAAAGUUUAAAAUGAAAAUAUAAUUGUCUUUAAUUUUGACUGGAGACAAAUUUUGCUGCUAGUGUAUUAACAAGUAGUUGGUUCAAGUAAAACUAGAUUAGUAAUGUCUUGAGUUUGAACCUUGUGAAUAAAAAAUAACAGAUUAGCAGUUUUGAUGUAACUAACUAAGCAAUAACAUGUAGAUUUCCUAAUACACUCUUAAACAUAUUUAGAAAUGCAAAAGGAAAAAUGUACCUGGGCUAUUAUUCAUAGUUGUUGUUGAUGAAAUUGAAGUGUUAUACGAAUGUGGAUGCUUACCUUCCUCAACGGUUUCAACAAGUUCUUUUUUUUUAUCCCGGGACGCUAAUGGAUCAAUAUCCCCAAAUAUUUGAUCUAACAUGUUGCAUUCUUUUAUCUUGAGCACUUUCAAUUGAGCUAAGCCUCUUACAACACUGGUCGAGAAUAUAUCUUUUAAUUCUCUACAUCCAUUUACCUUUACUUCCUGAAGAUUCUGGAAUAUUUGUACAGGAUGCCCAGUGGUGAAUUCACCUUGACUUUUCUUCAUUUUGUCAUCAUCUGCUAAUAUAUGCUUCAGUCCAUCACAUUUUGUUAUUUCUAAUGUUUUCAAUUGUACCAAACAUCGAGCAACGACAUACGUGAAGAGAGAUGUCAACUGUGGACAAUCACUCAAAUACAGCUCCUCUAAGUUCUCAAAAGGCCCAUUGGCAGGUUGAAAACAAUGCCAUAAAGCUCUUAGAUUUUCCAUGUUAUGCAUUCUCAAUGUAUGCAACUUACAGAAGGGAGUUACCACCUCACUCAAAUGGUUACUAGUUUCAAUCAAACACUCUAUCUCUUUAGAAUUACGUAUAUGAAAAUUAAUCAGCUCAUCCAAACCUCCUCCUUCAAUUUGAAAUAUAUCAGGCAUGAUAUUUUUUGCGCCUUCCUGAAUAUUUGCUACAAAUAGAACUGUUGCUUUUUUUGCCAGACCCUUAAUUACCUCAUUUGAUAUGUGAAAAUGGUUAAGUAAUAGAGUUCUGGGACGAGAUUGAAAAUAAAUAUAAUCAUCAAAAUUAUGGGAUCCUAAUACAAUUUCAUACCCUUGUAGUGUUUGGGGGACACUAAACGUGUUAAAGAAUUCAAUAUUAUCUUCACUGUUAGCAUCCCAUUCUCCUUUAAUAUCAAUAAUGUACAACUCUUCUAGUAGUGGGCUUCUUUUGAUCACUUCAAACUUCUUCCCUUUAAUGUCACAUAGGUACAACCCUAACAUUUUUAAGGUUGUUACUUGUGUAAUUGCAACAUCGGUUUGUAAUUCAAGAAAUGAAGGCAAUGAACAACAAUUCAACGAAAGACUUUGAAGUUUCUUCAUAUCGCUUACAAAUGAGAAGCCACUCAAUUCAUAAUUAGAAAUAACUAGACAAUGAAGAUUUGUUAAUGUUUUUAAAGACAUUGUUGAAAAUGGUCUUAUUUUAACUUUAUCAUUGAAUAGAAUCAAAACUUUGAGCAUUCUCAUUCCUUUGAAAAUUCCAUCCGAUUCUUCUAGUUUUGUCUUUAAGCAUAAAAACUCAAGAUUGGAACAAUCCAAAUCAUUUGGAAAUUUCACACACCAUAGGUAUGUUACUGAAUUUUGUUCGACAAUCACAUCUUUUUUCUCUUCGCACUUGAUGAUUAUUUUCUCAUCCUUUGCUAUCAAGUGGGCCACAUCGCGAACUAUGUCAUGCAUUUUGACACCUCCAUUCUUUUCAUCCAACAAUAAACAAGAACUAACAAGCUUAAUUUUGGUUGCAAUCACUUCACUCUUUGCCUCCACAUAUGAGUGUGCUUCUCCAACUACACCUAACCCUAUUGCACAUCUUGUUAAAAUUUCAACUGGAAUUUCAAAAUCUUCAGGGAACACAGAACACAACAAAAAAAGUGAUUUAGCUUCUUCAGUAUCCAAAUUAUCAUAGCUCAACUGCAAGCACUUGUAGGGAUCAGGCAAACCUCCUUCAAUAUGUAUUGGCUUCGAACUACUCAAUUUAUUCAAUGCAACACUCCAUAUCGUCUCGACUUUUCCCUUCAAACUACUAGCAACAGCUGCAAUGGCAACUGGCAAUCCUUUACAUUCAUUAGAAAUUAAUCUUCCCAUAUGCUUUAUGGUAUCAGGGGUGCCUUUAGAUAUAAGUGCUUUAUUUUGGAAAAGAGUCCAGGCUUCUUCAUCUGUUAAAAUUGGCAAGUAAAUCUUUCUUUGACAAUCCAUUGAAGUACAAACAUCUUCGGAUCUAGUGGUAAUGAGAAUCUUGAAGCCUUUAUGGUGUUCAGAGGAGGGAAUCCCAAUGGCACCAAAGUCAAGCUUCUCCCACACAUCAUCUAGAAUCACAAGAAUUUUUUUCUCCUGAGUUAAUCUCAAGCACAAUUGUUGGGCUCUCUCCAUUACUUUAGUUUCUGGAGAAAAUGUAUAUUGCAGUGAACUUGCAAUAUUUUCUUGGAUCCUUCGAACUUCCACUAUACUUGAAAUAGGCACAAAAAGAACUUUGUCAAAAAGAUGUUCCGCUUCUACUGAUUUCCUAACUUCCAUUGCUAAUGUGGUUUUACCACAACCCCCCAUCCCGUACAAUCCAAUCAUGGAAACAUCUUUAUUUUUCACUGCUUCCAGUAGUUGCUCAUAUGCAGAUUGUCUACUUUCAAAGUUCAUGCAUUUUUCUAAGAGAAUAUCAAGGGUUCCUGAAGGAAGUGUAGCAAUGCGCUCAAAUGGCACAUAUUUUCUACCUUCUUCAAUGAACUUUUCAAGGUACACAAUUUUAUUUGCUAACUUUUUUCCUACCCGAUAUCGCCAAAUCCAAUUUGGACAGUGACCAAAGCAACAUAUUUUUUUGGUUUUUGCCUCUUUCAACAACUUAUUCACAUUGUCUACGUCACUGAUAGCAUCUUGCAACCACUUUUCAACCACUUCACUAGUCUUUCUCAUUUGUCUCUCGGCAUUUACAAUAAAUUUUUGGACACUAUCUCUUGUUACAAUCAAAACACCCUCUUCUUCUUCAAGCUUUUUAAUGAAAUUGUUAAAGUAGUAAGGAUAACGCAAUUGAUUUAAUGCUGCACACACUAAAUCUCUUGAAACAGAAGAUGCAAAACCCAAGAGACACUCCAUCAAUCUAUUCCACCAAAUACAACUUUCUUUAACCUGAAAAAAUAGAAAAUGAACACGCUCUAUAUAAUUUUUAUAAUUAUAUUUAGAUAUAUUAGAGAAAAACUUAUUUAAGAUCAUUUCUUACAUCUUCUAGUACAUCAUUUUUAUUGUGAAAUUACAUAAAAAAAGGUUAUGUGUUAUUUUUUGAAUUAGAUUUAAUGUUUUUAUCUUAAAUAGCCAAUUAUUGGAUACACAAUAAAAAUAUAAAAAAAAUCUAAUAACUUGAAUGAUUAGUUUUAAAAGUUUAUGUGUAAUAAGAUUUUUUAAAUGUCCUUUUCAUCACUUACUACAAGAAAAUCAUGAAAUAGAAAUUAAUUUUUAGUGACAAAAAUAAUUAGUUGUUAUAGUGACUAAAUUAGAAACCAUUUUAUAUACUAAUUUUUUUUUGUUUCUAAAUAGUUUCUAUUAUUGUUAAAUGGUUUUUAAAUUGGUAACUAAUUAACAACGAAGGUUUUUGCUACCAAAUUUAUAAACUAAAUAAUUGGUAGUUAAAACCUUAGUUGCUAAUUAGAUACAAAUUUAGAAACCAUUUAAGAAAAAUAGAAACUAAUUUAGAAAUCAAUUUUUUUUAAUUUCUAAAAUGAUCUCAAAUUUAGUUACUAUAGAAUCUAAUUAUUUUUUUUUCUAAAAUUGGUUUCUAUUUCAUGUCUUUUCUGGUAAUGACUUCGAUAAAUUUCUCAAACAUAUUUAUUUUUAAAUAAUGUUUUAAAAAAUUAUUACCCUGCUAAAAAAAAUUAUAUUCAAACAUGUGGUUAAAUGACACCCUUAGAUCAAAAGAUUUGUUAAUUAGAAAAAAAAAAACCAAGUGAACCAGUAAAAAAUGUACUUAACCAAAGCUUGAACUAUAAUAAGCAUUAAAUAUAAAAUUAAUAUUAUAUAUUUUUUUGUAAAUUUAAUUUUAUUAAUAUUUAUUUAAAUUUAUAUAAGCUCUUUUAGAUUAUAGCACUUUGAGAUAAAAUUUGCAAAUAAGAAAAGAACAAAAUUAGGUAAUAAUUCCUAAAAUUGUUAUGUUAUAUAGGGUUAUUAUAGGCCGUUGUACAGUACCAUACUUUCAAGUGUUCAACGCUUGUUACUUAUGUUGAUGAAUUAUAUUAAUUCAUUACGAUGAAAUGUAUUAAUUCAUCAUCCUCAUUUUCGCCAUUUAAGCAAUUAAAAUGGAGUUUAUAAUAUUAUACUGUGUAAAAAAUUCCAUUAAUAUAAGUGUACAAUUAUUUAGUUUAGUUUAAAAUUAUUUAAAUUUUGAAUUAGAAUAGUAAUAUUAUUAUUUUUAUUAAUAUUAUUAACAAUAUAUUGAUGGAGAAACAUGAACCUACCAUGUUUAACAUAUAUUGAAUAACUACUAUACCUUAUCAUAUUCUUAAUAUUAAUAAUAAUAAUAAUAAUAAUAAUAUAAUAAUAAUAAUAAUAAUAGUGAUAAUAAUAAUAAUAUUAAUAAUAAAAAUAAUAAUAUCCACAUACAAUUUUUUUCCGUAUUAGUGAUUGGAGUAUUUACGUACAAGAAAUUUUCCGUAUGUGAUAAAUAUGAGCAUUUACAUACAUAAUUUUUUUCAUAUGUAAUGAUUAACGAAAAGUUUUCUUGGUAAUUAUUAAGAAUAUUUAUAUAUGAAAUUUUUUCAUAUGUAAUGAUUAUACGCAUUAAUAUUAUUAAUAAUUUUAUUAUUAUUUUACUAAUGCUACUAUUAUUAUUAUUGUCAUUUUUAAUAAUAAUAAUGAUAAUACUAUUAAUAAUCAUAAUAAUAAUAAUUUUUAUUAUUAAUAUCGUUAUUCAUAUUAAUAAUAAUAUUAUUAUUACUAUUAAUAUUAUCAUCAUAAUAUAUAAGUGAGUGCAAACUUCACUCCAUUGAGCCGGUUUUAUGGGAUUGAGUUAAGCUUAAAGUUCACUUCGUAAUAAGUUGUAUGGUUUAGAAGAGUUUGAUUCUUCCAUGUCAAAUAUACAUGAAAUUGUUUUGGAAAAAAGAAUGUGAUGUCACUAGUACAUUUGAUUUUGAUAAUUCAAAUACAAAAUGUUAUGUUUCAAAUAACUCGUUGAUCAACAUCAACCUCGGCUCAGCCAAAUUAUUAAGAAGUUAAUCAAACUCAACCCCAACACGAUGGGAUUAUUAAAAAUUUUAUCAGCAUUGACCCUAAUUCGGUGGAAUUAUUAAAAGUUGAUAACCAUUGAUCCCGAUCUGGGGAUUAUGUUUUGUUUAAAAACUUUUGGAAUGUUGAAUUGAAAUGAGUGAAAGAUGAUGUUCAAGUAAAUUUUGGAUUGUACUGGUCAUUUAUGUGUUUGAGAGUUGUACUUGUUAAACUGGUUUUGGAUAAAACUUUGAAAAUAUGUUUCUGGGACAUGAGGUUGAUUUUAUGAUAUUUUUGCUCAAGCAAGCCAAUCCUCACUCAAGCAAAAAUAGCACUGCAUAUCAAUCUUGCAUUUAACCCUAUUUUCACUCAUGUUAUAAUAGAGAUCCCCUUACUUCACUGAUGAUCUAAGACACAUAGACUAAGAUAUCAAGGGUUGAGAAUCUGAUGGGAAAGUUGUUGCACACUGUGACAUAUGUGGAUGCACAACUUGAGUGGUAUUUAAGUUAAUAUGAGUCGUACGGAAGGUGUUAGUCGAUAUUCUACUUGUUAAAUACCCUUGAUUGUAUAGAUCCAUGUGUUGUCUUGUUGUACUUUGAUAUUUGAAUGAGAUUGAAUGGUUGUGAUAUAUUGAUUAAAAUGUCUUCUUUUAUACUUUUUUAUGUUGAACUAACAGUGAUUGUAUUAAGUACAAAAGCAUAUAUAAAGACAUACUCAGGAGCAACAUCAUAACAAUAAAAACUUUAUUUUAUCUUUUCUUUUGUAAAUAUUUAUAUAUAUAUAUAUGUACGAAUUUGUAUGUAUUUUAGUUGUAUUUUAAAAUAUUUUAUGUUUUAUACAUAUUCUGUGUUAGAUUUUUAGUACAGUGGAUAGUUCUUUUUACAAUAUUAUAUUAACUCUAAAAUCAUAAUCCCCUAAUGAAAAACACAAAAGAUCAUAUAUUAUAAUACAUAUAUGUAGUAUUAAGUUUAUAUAGACGGUCCUACCAUCUACAUUGAGUUGAGUUCUUGGUACUUUAUAUAGACUAGAGUUAAUUUAAGUGUAAUUUGUGAGAAUAUUAAGGAGUAUGAUUGUAUUUUACGAACCCGUUCAUUAUUCACAACAUCAUAAUUGGAUGUGAUUUUUAAUAAUUGAUAAUGGAAAAUGAAAUAUGGAUCAUGAAUGUUUCUGGCUUCUGCAUUUUUAUUAAAUAAAAAAGGGAAGAGAUACGUACUUGUUCAUCGUUCAAAUCUAACUAAUUUGGAAGUGGAAAAAAAGAGAAAAGAUAGGUAAGGUUUUUACGUUACCUGCUUUAACUAAGAUGCAGAGAGAGAUGAGAAAAAGAAGUGAUGAUCCAUGACUUCAAUACAAGACACGCUGAAACGUUAAGUUACUGCACAAACAUAAACACAAACACAUGAUCUACAGCUUCAAUUGAAAAGGAAUCGAUUAGAAUUUCAGACCGAUUCAUACCUCCACACAGAAGAAUGCACUCCAUUGAUUGAAUCGAAGAGAGAGUAUUAGAAACAAUCCUCACACUUACUGCAACAAAUAUCUCAGAGAAAGAAACAAGUGCUGAUCCAUGACUUCAAUGCAAGAAACACUGAAGCAUUAUGUUACUGCACAAACAUAACAAACAUAAACACAAACACAUGAUCUGCACCUUCAAUCGAAAAGGAAUCGAUUAGAAAUUGAAAUCAAAGCAGAAGUUAACUUCACACACAGUGAUUCAUACCUCCGCAGAGAUGAAUGCACUCCAUCGAUUGAAUCGAGGAGAGAGCAUAAGAGUUAAGAAUGAAAGGACAUUUGUGAAGAAUGGCGCAGCAACACAUUUCUUGUUAUUCAAUUUGAGAAUGAAAAGCAGAGUUGUGAAGAUUCGUGCACCAAUACCUUUCUUCUUAUUCAGUUUAGGAAUGAAAGCACAGUUGCGAAUUACCUUUCUUGUUAUUCACUUUAAGAAUGAAAGCACACUUCUGAAUAUUUAACUUUUAUACCAAGGUAUUACAAAAUGACAAUGGGUACUCAAUGAAGGAAGGGAUCAUAAAAAAAAUGGUUUCUGUAAUUUUGAAGAAACUGGAGAUGCAUUUGAACAUUAUAAGUCACAUAAAAGUUUUUUUUUUUUUCAUAUAACACUUGUAUUGUUUUGUCUCAACAAGAGCAACGUCUUACAGAACAAUAAAUAAGAUAGCAAACAUACAACAAAAUAGAACAAUCAACUUUUAGAAAGUCAAUUGAAACUAUUUGAUGGUCAAUUGAAACUAUUUGAUGGCGUGAAAAAAUUGAAGCAUACACUACAGAAAAUAAAAAAGACAGAACAAUAUUAUGUAGUUGCAAGUCUUCCUUUUGAGUGAUAAACACUUUGGUCCUUUAUAGCAAUGAACAAUGAAAAUUUUCAUGAGGGAUUUCUAGCAGUCAUGCGAUUGUACUCAUAUUGACUACACAGAACUGACCAUUUAUAAGUCACCUCAAACAAUUUUUGUUGAACUUUUCUUUGAUCUUCAACCAUUUGAGACCCGUCUUUCCUCACAUUUUCAAGCUCCAUUUUGUACCCAAUAGUUUCCACAAGGCAUUUAUUUUUUUCCUCCUCCAGAUAUGAUAAGGCAUCCUCACAAACUUUUAUUUCUUCCUUCAACCUAAUGAUUUGUUCCUUCAAAACUACUUCCUUCAGUUGAGCUUCAUCAUAGAAAUUCUUUGCCUCGGAAAUUUUGGAACCAAAAGUAAUGGCCACCUCAUUCCCACGAGCUUCAUGUUCUGCCAACUUUUCAGUGGUAGCAAAGCCUUGCUUAAAGGUGCAUACAAUGCUUGGGAACUCUUGUUGCAUAAUGCCAAUAAUAUCUUUGAGUCCAUCUGACAGAGUUACAUCUUUAAAAGGAAGGUUGGACAGGAAAUUAAGAGCAGACAAAAGACUAAUGAUAUUAGUCUUCGAGCUAACUAUGUCCUUCAGAGACAUCUUUAGAUACUUUUCCAACUCAACAAGGGUCUUUCCAACUAGGUUGUCUUCACCUUCUUUCCCCACAACAACUGGUGCAAAUAAACUCAUGAUAUCAUUGGCCCCAAAGUCUUGAAUAAUUUUAGGUUGGCCUUCACUUUCUUUAGCAGUGCGUGUCUCAGUUUGGCUGCUCCAAAUUUCACUCUUGGAGGAAUAAGAAGAAAAUAUAACAGAAAAGACGUUAGCAUCAAGCCACAACAGUUGCAAAGCAUUGAGUUCCUUAAACCAUUUUUUAUCAAAGCAUAUUUGUGAGAGUGAUAGUAACAAAUUCAUUAAAUUUAAAUUCCAACUUGAAAUUUAGUACUUUUUGUUUUUUAAUUCCACUCCUAUGGCAAAUGAUAAAUCAAAAUGGUAACAUCAUUUUUAUGAUGAUCAAAUAUGUUGGAAUUGUGAUUUGCAAAAUAAACUUCCAUGUGGAUGUGAUUUAGUUUGGAAAGUAAAUAUUUGGUCCAACUGUGAGCUAGUGUAUUCGGAAUGAAUUGAAGAAGCUGUCAUACUGGUGUUCUUUUUUAUGGUUUCCUCUACAACUUCUCGCUCAAUACUCUGCAUACUCUGACAGAGAAAAUUCACACAACCAACAUAGAGAUACAACUUCAAAUUCACAAAAAGUGAUAGAUUUUCUCUGGGCAUUAACAAAGUCAUUUAAGACUUUUAAUUUCAUUCAUUUUUUACAUUACAUAGUCAAGAAGUUAAAUGAUCAUACCUCUUAGGAUUCUCAUUCAUUUGUCUCUCCGCAAUCUCCUUUCUCAACUUAGGAUCCCUCGUCAAAACAUGUUGACGCAUUUCAUCUACCCAUGAACUCUCAAAUCCAAUCUCAAGAGCUUCUUCGCAUAGUUUAUGGAACUCUUUUUCUCUUUGAGGAAUAACAUCGUCAACACUUUCUUUCUGAACGAACAACAACAUAUCUGCCAACAUUUUCAACCUCCAAGCUUGAAAGCGCUCACUAAACUUCUCGCUAACAUUCCAAAGAUGAGGAUAUGUUGUAAUUGCCUCCACCAGAAGAGCAAUUUGUGCAUCAUCCAGAUCAACAAAAUGUUUAUAUGUUCCCAAUCUUGUACGGAUAUCUGCAGAAGCUAUAAAAAGUUUGAAAGAGUGAUAUGAAAAUAUAGGAUUGAAACAAGAAAAUAAGAAAUAAAAAACCUGGAGAGAUGUCAAUAUUGUUGUUAGAAACAAUAUGUAUCUCCUCUUGUUUUUCCAAUAGGUUCAAACCUUCUUCUACUUUGAUUUCUUGGCUUGACAUGAUUCUUGCAUUCCCUUGAUCAUUCAUCUUAUCAUCUUGUUCAACAACCUUGGAAUCUUGUGCAUGUAUGUCCACGUCACCAAACUCAAUGUGAGUUGCCACACCACCUCCAAUGCUAAUGUCUUCAACACCAGUUGACAAAGGUUUUGUCUUAUCACCCUCUGUUGAAGGCCCCUCACGACCUCCAUUAAUGUCUUCACCAAUAGUUAACAAAGGUUUUGUCUCACCCUCUACUGAAGGCUCCUCUUCAAUGCUCUCAUUUCCAAUGUUUCCAAUCUCCUAUCACAAAUUGAUAAAAUACUAUUGAGUGAGAGUUUAUAAAGUUUGAAAGGACCACUAUUUUUAAUGUACAUCAUGUGGUGGUAUGAGAGUAGUUUGAUAAUUUUUAAUGGUUUUGUUACUAUUACUUCUUCAAGUGCAUGUUUGUCUUAAUAUCACCAAAUUCAUUUUAGGUUUAGUAAUUAUUACACCUAUAUGCUAAGGUAUUUUAUGCAGAGAAUACACUUUACAAUGCUCAAGCUAAGUUUUGUAAGGUAACUCUCAUUGUGACUAUACUUAUUUCUUCUUCAUAUUUAGUUUUUAAUUUCAAGUUCAUUCCUAAUUAGUUGACAUAUGAUGAUAUUAUCUAAUGCAGUUCCUUCUUCGACACCACUCAAUAUUCUGCAAUCUGCAUAAGUCCAGAAGAUGUGAAAUUUGGUAUCUGCAUAAUGUAAACCGAACACUUAAAAAAAAUUAAAAUAAAAAUCAAUUUUAAAAACAAAAAUUAAUUGGUAACUAUAUUAACUAGAUUUGAUAUUAUCUUAAAAACUAAAAAUUAGUAGUAUUUAAAGUUUUUUAUAUUAUUAAUAAAAUUUGUAAAUUAGUUUUUAUAUUGGUAUAUAAUUAGCUAAAAUAUUGGUAACUAAUUAGAUAUCAAUAUAAAAACUAAUUUAUAAAUUUAAUAAUAAUAUAAUCAAUUUUAGAUACUAAUAAUUUUUUUAGUCUCUAAAAUAAUAUAUAAUUUAAUUAAUAUAGUAAUUAAUUAUUUUUGUCUCUAAAAUUAAUUUUUAUUUAAUAAUUUUCUUAGUGAGAAAUAAUGAUUGUCUCUCAAAACAUAGAGCAUUAUUUUAAGAAAUUUUAAUUUAAUUCUUUAAAUUUCAAUGUGUUACAUAUCUUUUUAAAACUUUUCUCAAUUUUUAUUUUAAUACUAAUAUCUUACAAAAUUCACACUCUUAUUCACACUACAGGUAAAUUAAUAAAUACUAGUUUUAAAGACAAAAAAUAAUUAAUUACUAUAACUAUAUUAAAAAUAUUAUUAGUAUUAAAAAUAAUUUUUAUUAAUAUUAAUAAAAUUUAUAAACUAGUUUUUAAAUAUCAAAUUAUAAACUAGUUUAUAAAUUUGAUUAACAAUAAAAAAAUUACUUUAAAUAUCAAUAAUUUUUUUAAUUUCUAAAAUAAUAUCUAAUUUAGUCAAUAUAAUAAUUAAUUAUUUUUUAUUUUAAAAUUAAUAUUUUGUUAAUGAUUUUCUUGUAGUAUAUUUUAUUUUAUUUCUAAAAAAAAAUAUUUUUAAGAUAAAAAAAUAAUUUUUUACUUUUAUGAUUCAGGUACUUAUUUAAAAUCUCAAAUCUUAUUUUUCUAUCACGUAAGUUUAAAUUAAAAAAAUCCUAAUAAUGAGAGAAAAAGGUUAUUAAACUUUUUUUUAAUUGUAUUUAGAUUCAUAGAUUGGUUGGUUCUGACCUGUGUUGAAGUGAACUCACUGCUACAACUAAUACUAAAAUCUUCAUCUAAACUUCUCAUCAAGUGAUUUAUCUCCCAUAACCAAAGUCCAGUCCUUUUGAAAUCUGUAACGAAAAAUACAUAAAAAAGAAACGCAACCUCAGCUUUUCAUGAUGAAUAAUUAUAUUAUUACAACUAAAUAUAACAAAUGAUUUAAAAAGUUUCAUCAUAGGAAUUUUUUUUAUCACCCAUCAAAAUAAAGGAUCGAUCGUUUUCUUUAACAGUUCUUCCUAACUACAAUUACUAGAGCUUAAAAUUAAAAAAAAAAUCAGCAAAUAAUAAUUUACUGUGUUUAUUUUAAAAAAUUUAGUAAAUACUCGGUUGGAAAUUUGAAACAGUCUUAUCUGAAUGAAAUAGUUAAUUUGUAAGGAAAUAUAGUAUUUACCAUGAUAAGGAAAAGUUUUCUUGAGUUUCUCCAGAGUAGUUGUUGGAGUCAAAGAUAGUUUUGGACAUUCGUAGACAACACAAUUCUUUAAAUGGGACAAUUCAAACUCUUGGUUGAGAUUUGAAAGAUGCGUAAAUAUUAAAACUUUGAGUCUUGGAAGUUCAAUUUUUGUUUUUCCUAUCUCAUCAUCACCUUUUCCUUGUCCACGUCUAACAAACUCUUCUAGUUUAGAGGCUCCACUUAUGAUUAAAAGAUAAAGAUUAGGAAAGUCAUUAGAUGCAGAUCCAGAGAUAAAUCUUUUGAGUUUGUGGCAAUGUCCAACAUACAAUGCUUCUUGUUUUGGGAAGAAUGCCUGAGGAGAAAGAAGACUAGACAAUUUGUUAUCCUCCACAUCCUCUUCAAUGAUUACUCUUAAUUCUUUGCAUUUUCUUAUCUUCACAAUACUCAACAUUGGUAGGCAUCUUAAAUCAUACUUUGAAAAGAUUACUUCCAAUUUUGCACAUCCAAUAAUUUCUAAUUUUUGAAGAUUUGAGAAGAUAAGAGAAUUGUUUGGAGCUCCUUGUUCACAUCCAACAAUCUUCUUCAAUUUCAUGCAUUCUUUUAUUAUUAGCUCUUUCAACUCUGGUAAGCUUCUUAAAACAGAGGGAGGAAAUAUUACUUUCAAUUUUGCACAUCCUAUUAUUUUUAAUGUAGUAAGAUGUUGGAGAUUAACUGAAAUCUUGGAAGCCACCCAAAUAUAAGUCAUUUGAGGUAUAUUUUCCAAUUUCAAACGCUCUAACCUUAAGCUCACUUGUUGCCCAAUCAUUCCAUCUCCAUUAAGACAAAAAAUACCUUCUACUUCAGAAUUGGUUACAGAUAUAUUUUGCAAAGUGAGAAGAGGGUUCUGAACCCCUUUUGGAUCCUACAGGACAUUCAUAGGAAAUGAAAAAACUCCAAAAAGAAAACAAAAAAGGAACAAAUAACUAAUAAUCAUAAAAAAAAGACAAGACUACCUUCUUACUUGCGUUGAUAGGUUCUCUUGAAUCUGCAGGAGCCGUCAAGCAAUUAAUAGAAUUAUAAAACGGAUAGGCACAUUUAUAACAAGUAAACUCCUUCAAAGAUGGCCACGUCACGGUGAGAUUGUUGGUAGCACAAAUGCUAACAAAAUUUGGUAGAUUAUCAAGAGAGAGUAUUUCCAAUGCUGAGAAAUGAAUAUGCAUCUCCUCACAAUCCUUAUUAGCUGCGAAAUAUUGGCCAAACAUAUAUGUCAAUUGGCCACAAUCACGCACUGAGAGGUCUCUUAAGUUUGGGAAGAUUGCAUUCAAAUUCUCUUUGCCAUAUUCAUCCUCAGUGUCUAUAAUGUGCUCAAGUCCGUGACAUUGCUCGAUUCUCAAGAUUUCCAACAUCAGUAAUGAAGCAAUGGACAAUUUAAAAAUGUACUUUACCUUAUCAAAGCCAUUCAUGUUAAUCUCUCUUAUGUUAUGCAUAAUAAUCAAGGUCAAACCAUGUGGUGGUUUUGAAAUAUAUUGAACACUUUCAACUGGGAAAAUAGAAUCUGAGUUCGAUAUCUGCAAUACAUACACCAAGUUACUUGUUAAACCAAACUAAUUAGUGUCUUAACUUUAAUUAUUAAUGUAUUUCAUUUCUAACAAAUAAUUGUUUAUGAAAAUAAAUUAUUUUUGUUUAGCACAACAAGAAAAAGUUGAAAAGAGAAUAAUUUCACAAAAGUAAUCUAUUCCAAAUAAUCUAUGCCAAUACUUAGAUAUUAAAAAAUUCAUGUUGCACCUUCGGUAUAGUGCUUGUAAGACCAACUUUUAUUUUUAGCACAAAAUGAUCGUGCAAUUCAAAUGUUUUGAGUAAUUUUUCUAAAUACACGAAGAGAGAGACAAAGUAAGUGAUGAUAAUCAUACCUUGAUUGCAAUAUAAUCCUCUUGUCUAGCUUUUGAAGAAUCUGCUGAACAAUUUAUAGUGAAAAACUCAACACAUCUUCCAGUAGUCAAUGAUAGUUUUCCUAAAGAUGGACAUCUUACAUGAUAAUUGCCUAGAAGAGAGUUAUCCAUGAUACGAACAAGUACGAGUAUUUCUAAAGCAGGAAGCUCAAUUUGAUUAUUAUUUUGUUGUUGACUUGAAAGAUCUUUCAAAUUAGAAGCCUCUUUAUUUCCUAUUUCCAUGCCUCCAACAAAAGAGAUAGGGAACAUACAUUGCAAUAAGUCACAUUCACUGAUAUUUAGCGUUUUCAAACUUUGGAAGAUUGAAAUAUCACUCUGAAAGUCAUGGUCAUCCUGGACAAUGUUUUCCUUCUGUUGAUUGACCCUUUCAUGAGUUACUAUAUGUUUCAAACUAUUGCACCUUUUUAUGAUCAACACUUCCAAAAAAGUCAAGGUCUUAGCUAUAGAUGCUGUAAAAAUUGAGCCUAACUUCGGACAAUCGAUUAUCGUAAGGCUUGCAAGGCUUGAUAAAGUUCCUGAAAAGCAAUUAUAAAUAAGAAAAAUAUCGCUCAACAUAUUAGAGUUCGUUAUAUAUAUGUUAUGUGUGCAAGUUACAUUCUAAUUUUGAAGACAUUGGUUUCUAGGGACGGAACUGCAAUCCUAAGCAUCAAACGAUUCGUUAAUAAUGAUGAAAAGAAUCAUACAAAACAAAUUUUUUUAAAAUAAUUCGAAAUUAUCUAAAAAGUUUAAAAUGCAAAUAUAAUUGUCUUUAAUUUUGAUUGGAGACAAAUUUUGCUCAUAGUGCAUUAAGAAGUAGUAGGUUUAAGUAAAACUAGAUUAGUAAUGUCUUGAGUUUGAACCACGUGAAUGAAAAAUAACAGAUUAGCAGUUUUCAUCUAACUUGUAAAUAACUUCAACUAAGCAAUAACAUGUAGACUUCUUAAUAUGUACCUGGGCUAUGGUUCAAAAUUGUUGUUGAUGGAGUUGAAGUGCUAUACAAAUGUGGAUGCUUACCUUCCUCAACGAUUUCAGCAAGUUCUUCUUUUUUAUCCUGGUAUGUUAAUGGAUCAAUAUCCCCAAAUAUUUGAUCUAACAUGUUGCAUUCUUGUAUAUUGAGCACUUUCAAUUGAGCUAAGCCUUUUAAAACACUGGUCGAGAAUAUAUCUUUUAAUUCUCUACAUCUAUUUACCUCUACUUCCUGAAGAUUUUGGAAGAUUUGUACAGGAUGCCCAAUGGUGAAUUCACAUUGAUUUUUCUCUCUUUUCUCAUCAUCUGCUAAUAUAUGUUUCAGUCCAUCACAUUCUGAUAUUUUUAAUAUUUUCAAUUGUACCAAACAUCGAGCAACGACAUACGUGAAGAGAGAUGUCAACCGUGGACAAUCACUUAAAUACAACUCCUCUAAGUUCUCAAAAGGCCCAUUGGCAGGUUGAAAACAAUGCCAUAAAGCUCUUAGACUUUUCAUGUUAUUCAUUCUGAGCGUAUGCAACUUUGAGAAGAAAGUUACCACCUCACUCAAAUGGUUACUAGUUUCAAUCAAGCACUCUAUCUCUUCAGAAUCCUGUAUCUCAAACUUAUUCAGUUCAUCCAAACCUCCUCCUUCAAUUUGAAAUAUAUCAGGGAUGAUAUUUUUUGCGCCUCCCUGAAUAUUUGCUACAACUAGAUCUGUUGCUUUUUUUGCCAAACCCUUAAUUACCUCAUUUGAUAUGUCAAAAUGGUUAAGUAAUAGAGUUCUGGAAGGAGGGUGAAGAUAAUUAUAAUUAUAAUAAAAGUCAUUGUAUCCCAAUACAAUUGCAUACCUUUGCAAUGUUUGGGGGACACUAAACGUGUUAAAGAAUUCAAUAUUGUCUUCACUGUUAGCUUUCCAUUUUUCUUCAACAAUGUACAACUCUUCUAGUCGUGGGGUUCUUUUUAUCACUUCAAAAUUCUUCCCUUUCAUUUUACAUCUGUAGAACUGUAACAAUUUUAAGGUUGUUAUUUGUGUAAUUGCAACAUUGGUUUGUAAUUCAGGAAAUGAAGGCAAUGAACAAUCAUUCAUCGAAAGACUUUGAAGUUUUUUCAUAUUGUUUACAAAUGAGAAGUCGCUCAAUUCAUAGCCAGAAAUAACUAGAUAACGAAGAUUCGUUAAUGUUUUUAAAGACAUUGUGGACAAUGGUGUUAUUCCAACAUUAUCAUUGGCUAGAAUUAAAACUUUGAGAAUUUCCAUUCUUUUGAAGAUUCCAUCAAAUUCUUCCAAUUUUGUCUUUAAGAAUAAAAACUCAAGAUUUGAACAAUCCAAAUCAUUUGGAAAUUUUACACACCAUAGACAUCUUAUUGAAUUUUGUUCAAUAGUCACAUCUUUUUCCACUUCGCACUUGAUGAUCUUAUUCUCAUUCUUUGCUAUCAGGUGGGCCACAUCGCGAACUAAGUCAUGCAUUUUUACACAUUCAUUCUUUUCAUCCAACAAUAAACAAGAACUAACGAGCUUAAUUUUGGUUGCAACCACUUCACUCCUUGCCUCCUCAUAAGAGUGUGCUUCUCCAACUACACCUAAUCCUAUAGCAUAUCUUGUUAAAGAUUCAAUUGGAAUUUCAUAAUCUUCAGGGAACACAGAACACAAUAGGAAAAGUGAUUUAGCUUCUUUAGUAUCCAAAUUAUCAUAGCUCAGCUGCAAGCACUUGUAGGGAUCAAUCAAACCUCUUUCAAUAUUUACUGGCUUAGAACUUCUCAAUUUAUUCAAUGUAACACUCCAUAUCGUCUCAGCUUUUCCCUUCAAACUACUGGCAACAGCUGCAACGGCAACAGGCAAUCCUUUACACUCAUUGGAAAUUAAUUUACCCAUAUGCUUUAAGGUAUCAAGGGUGUCUUCAGAUAUAAGGGCUUUAUUUUGAAAAAGAGUCCACGCUUCUUCAUCCGUUAAAAUUGGCAGGUAAAUCAUUCUUUGACAAUCCAUUGAAGUACAAACUUCUUCUGAUCUAGUGGUAAUGAGAAUCUUGCAACCUUUAUGGUGUUCAGAGGAGGGAAUUCCAAUGCCACCAUAGUCAAGUUUCUCCCACACAUCAUCUAGAAUUACAAGAAUGUUUUUCUCCUGGUUUAAUCUCAAGCACAAUCGUUGGGCCCUCUCCAUUACUUCAGUUUCUGGAAAUGUAUACUGCAAUGAACUUGCAAUUUUUUCUUGAAUCCUUUGAACUUCCACUGUACUAGAAAUAGGCACAAAAAGAACUUUUUCAAAACAAUGUUCUGCUUCUACUAACUUCUUAACCUCCAUUGCUAAUGUGGUUUUACCACAACCCCCCAUCCCAUACAAUCCAAUCAUGGAAACAUCAUUAUUUUUCACUGCUUCCAGUAGUUGCUCAUAUGCAGAUUGUCUACUCUCAAAAUUCAUGGAUUUUUCUAAGAGAAUAUCAAGGGUGCCUGAAGGAAGUGUAGCAAUGCGGUCAAAUGGCACAUAAUGUCUACCCUUUUCGAUGAACUUUUCAAGGUCCACUGUUUUAUUUGCUAACUUUUUUCCUACACGGUAUCGCCAAAUCAAAUUUGGACAAUGCCCAAAGCAACAGAUUUUUUUGGCUUUUGCCUCUUUCAACAACUGAUUCACAUUGUCUGCAUCAUUGAUAGCAUCUUGCAGCCACUUGUCAACAACUUCACUGGUCUUUCUUGUUUGUUUCUUUGCAUUUGUAACAAAUUUUUGGACACUGUCUUUCGUUACAAUCAAAUCGCCCUCUUCUUCUUCAAGUUUUUUUACGAAAUUGUUAAAGCAACAAGGAUAACGUAAUUGAUUUAAUGUUCCACAUACUAAAUCUCUUGAAACAGAAGAUGCAAAACCCAAGAGGCACUCCAUCAAUUUGUUCCACCAAAUGCAACUUUCUUUUACUUGAACAAGAGAAGAUGAAUACUCCAUAGUUAGUUUUAUAAUUAUAUUUAGAUGUAUUAGAAAAUAAAAGAUUUUAAGAUCGCAUUACAUAUUGGAGUACGUCACUUUUAUAGUAAAAUUACAGAAAAGGUUAUGAUAUUAUGUUUAGUAAUUAGAUUUAAUGUUUCAUACCUUAUAUAAUAAUUAUUGGACAUAGAAAUAAAAAUAAAUCUAAUAACUUUAAUGAUUACUUUUAAAAGUUCAUGUGUGAUAAGAUUUUUAAAUUUCCUUUUCAUCACUUAGAAAAUUUUAUCAAAUAUAUUUAUUUUUAAAUAAUUUUGUUUCAAAAAAUUCUUAUCCUCCCUAAAAAAAAUUAUAUUUAAACAUGUGCUUAAAUGACACCCAAAUAGAUCAAAAGAUUUGUUAAGUAGAAAAAAAAAGUGUACGAGUAAAAAAUGUAUUUAACCAAAACUUAAAAUAUGCAUUAUAUAUAAAAUUAAUAUUAUAUAUAUUUUGUAAGUUUAAUUUUAUUAAUAUUUAUUUAAAUUUAUACAAGCUCUUAGAUAUAGCACUUUUUGAUAAAUUUGCAAAUAGGAGAAUAACAAAUGUUGGUAAUUUCUAAAUCAGAAUAUUUUUCCAAGAUUCUUGGAGUAGAAUAACAUAUAAAACGAUACAAGGUUCAAGAAAAAGUCAUCAAUUUUCAGAGUUUGAUAGAGGUGUUCGUAAAGCAGAGAAUUAGAGUUUUCUUAGUGUUUUAUUUUCUUCAUUAUAAUCCUUUAAAUUUGUCUCCAUAUGGAAGGUUAAACCCCUUAGGAUUCAUUUUCUUGUGUUUUUGCAAUAAAUUGAGGUUUAUGUUCUAUAAAAUUGUAUUCUUAAAUUCUCUAUAGCAAAUUGUGUUUUAUUGUUAGUCUUUUUGGAAUGUGGUUUUUGUCAAAAUAUUUGUUUUUUAACGCUUAUUGAGAAUUUAGCUAAUUUCUUUAAUUUGAUUCGCUUAGUCUUAAUCAAUGUCUUGUUUGCUUAAUUGAAGAGGUAGAAGAUAAACAUCUAACAAGUAGACAUUGAAACUUGUGAGAUACUGAAUACAUCAGUGGACACUUGUUUUGGUGAUAUUUAAUUAAUUACCAAGUUUUGGAUAUCAAUUUUAGAAUCUAAAAUAGUUGGUGGCUAAAACCUUGGUAGCUAAUUAAAUAUUAAUUUAAAAACUAAUUUAUAAAUUUAGAAACUACUUUAACUACCAAUAAUUCUUUUAAUUUCUAAAAUAUUACUUAAUUUAUUCAAUAUAGUGACUAAUUAUUUUUUGUUUCUAAAAAUAAUUUCUAAAAUUAGUCUAUUUAAUAAUUUUCUUGUAGUGCAUAUUAUGAUUAAUAUAAAAUGACAUGUGAUUUUUAUUUUUUUUAAUUAAAUAAUGUGUUGGAUAACAAAGGACUAUCAUUGUCACUUACAUCAAUGACAAUGACGACAAUUCCUUGAUCGUUGUAGAUGUUGACGUGAAAGUAAUAGGUAAGUAUGACAAUCUUGUUAUCCAACACAUUUUUAAUAAAAGCAAUAAGAAUCACUUCUGAUACAUUAACAAUAAUAUCAUUUUGUAUGUACUAUACAACAUACAUUUUUAACAUGUGGAAACAAAUAAGAUGUCGAAUCAAAAUAAUAGUCAUGUCACUUUAUUAAUGAAAAAUAAACGACAAAAACUCAAUUAAAAAUAUAUUUUUUUAAUUAAAAGUAUCUAAAAAGAUACUUGAAAUUUAAUUAAGUCUAAAAUAAAUGAUUUUUUUUAGCUCAUUACAUAUACUUAGCUACAUUGAACUGAGUGAGUUAGACUAGGUACUUUAUGAGUUCUUCUCAAAUUAAACCAAGACUCGAGUGCUUUAAAAAUUCUACACAAACUUCUAUUGUUUUGAAAGCCUUACAUUAUCACUGUUUGUUAAAUCACACAUGCAAUUUCAUUAAAAACCGUUAAUAUAGGUAUAAUUCAAUUUCAUUAAAAACAAUUAAUAUAAGUAUAAUUUGUGAGAAUAUUAAGAAGUAUGAUUGUAUUUUACUCACCCAUUCAUUAUUCACAUCAUGAUGAUUGGAUGUGAUUUUUAAUAAAAAUUUCCAAUGUAAAAAGUGUUUGAAUGUUUUUUCCUACACUUUUAUACCUUCUUCGGGCAUCCGUAUUUACAAGUAAGGUCAAAAUAUCAUUUUAUCCUUAAAAAUAUACUUCUGAAUUUUACAAUUUGAAAGUGUUAUUUUUUCUAUGUUCGAAAUAAUUCAAAAGGUAUAAUGCUUUUCAGAUUUUACAAUUUAAAAUAUAUUUUUUUCUUUAAAAAAAUUUAUUCUGAAAUACAUAAUCCAAAAGUUUUCCUAAAUAUGAUAAUAGCUUUCCUAAAUAUGAUAAUAGCUUUCAGAUUGUACAAUUCAUAACAAUCUAUUACUAUAAUAUUCAGAUUGUCCAAUCCAAAAGAUAUUUUCAAAUCCGAAAAUACUUUUCAAAUUCUACAAUCUAAAUAUAAUUUUAAAAUAUAUUUUGGAUUGUACAAUUUAAAAUUAUCCUUACAAAAUAAAGUCCAAAAUACAUUAUAAUAAAGAGUAUUAUAGAUUUUAUAAUCCAAUAUAAUAAAAAAAAUAAACGAAUGGAAAAUUCUAAUAUGUACUCGUAAUGUUAGGGUUGGAAUUAAAAAAAAAAUAUGGAAAUUUAGGAGAAAGAAAAAACGUGUAGGGAAGAAACAUGUGUGUUCCCUAAUUGAUAAUGGAAUAUGAAAUAUAGAUCAUGAAUGUUUCUCGCUGCCGCAUUUUUAUUAAAUAUCAUUUUUAAAUGGGAAGAGAUAUAAAAACAGUGUAUUAUAAUAGUUAAAAUUAAUAUAAUAAAACUAAAAGUUGUAUUGUCUGAUGGAAAAAUACAUUAAUAUAUAAAAAAAAUAUUUAUAAAAUUUAAAAGAUAUUACGAUUACUUUAUUUUAACAGGAUUUAUAUAUGUACGAAAUAAAUAAGAGCAAAAAUAUCUUUAAAAAUAGUGUAAGAAAAAGUAUCCGUCUUAUAUAUUAUCAAUGGAAAUAUAGAGACCGAUGAACAAUAUUUUUUAUUACGUUAAAAAUAAAUAACCUUCUAAGAAUAAUUUUAAAAAUAUAUGAUAAUUAUUUUUAAGAAAAAUUAUUAUAUAAUUGUUUUUAGUAGAGAAACUAUAUACUUACUUAUUUACUAAAAAAAUUAUUUAAUUUAUUAAAAGAUAAAAUUAUCUAAUUAAAAAAUGACAAAAAAUAGUUAUAAAAAAUAUUUUCUGAUACAAAUUGUUAAUAAUAGUAAAUUAAUUAACCCUAAUAAUAAAAAAAAGUGAUAAUAAAUAAAUAAUGAAAAAAAUAAUAUUGAUAAUAUAAUAAAGAAUAAUAACAAUAAAAAAUUUACUUAUUUUUAUUUUAAUUUAAAUAAUUUAAAAAUAAUAAUUUCUACUCUUUUUAUUUUCUCAAUUAACACUGUUUUAUAUUUGUUCUCUCAUUUUUUUAUUUCAUUAAUUUAUUUUCCCCCUAUUUGGUUUCUCAAGGCAACUUGUAAGGCUGCAAAAUUCCUUCUGAUCAAGUGAAAAAAAUCAAAUUCUCAAAUCCAAUUUAUAUUUAUUUAAAUUUAUAUUAUUUUAAGUUUAUUUAAAUAGAUUUAUUUGAAAUCCAAUUUUUAUUUUUACAUUUUAACUUCAAUCUAUUUUAAUUGGCGUUGGAAGGAAUAUUGAAUAGUUUUUAAUUUUGAAAAUCUAAAAUCACGUAAGUCUAAAUCAUUUUAAGUUAUAAAAAACUAAGUUGAGCUAAACCCAAGUAAAAUAUUACUGGAUCGGACUCAUGUAAGAUCAGCCCAAGUUGAUCCGAGCUCAACAAUUGAGCUCAAUCCAUUCAGUUCUAGUUCAAUCAAGUUGUGUUGUGUCCAAAUCAAACGAAGCAUGAUUGGAUUAGGUUAGGUUAAUCCUAGAUAGAGUCGAUUUUGCCUAAGUCCAAGUCAACUAAGACUUUGGUAAGAUUAAAACGGACUAGUUAAGUCGAAACAAGUCAAGUUGCGUUUAUAUUCAAUCAAUACAUCGGAUCCAUAUUGAGUUGAAACCAUGUUUAACUAAAUUGAGUUAAUUCCACGAUAAGUCAAUUAGGUUGAUCUCACCUCAGAUUUAAGUAAAUUUAAUCUAAAGUUAAUCCAUUUCAAAAAUUAAUUAAAAAAAUUCAAAAUCAAUUUAAUUUAGUUAAAAUAGAUAUGUAUUUUAAUUUUGAAAAUUUUCCACGCAUGAUCCUCCGAACUUCUCAUCACACUUUUCCCUCCCAUCCAGCUAUUCCCAUUUUGAACUCUAUCGUCCAUGUGGUUGUUUAUACUGAGUUUUCACAAAUGUUUGAGUAUUUGUAAUAAAAGUUGUUUAUAAUAGUUAUUUAUAAAUAAAAUUAUUAUUUUAAUGUAACUUCUAUCCAUAUAAAUGGUUUAAAUUUAAAAAUAAUUAUUUAUAAAUUAAAGGGAGUUAUUAUUUUAGAAGAAAAAGAGAGUAGGUGAAGUAAAACAAAAGUGCAAAUAGAAGUCUUAAUUUAUGGGAAAAUAAGAAAGAUUCAGCUAAUACAAAUUGUUUUUUCAGAUCUCGCAUAAAAAACAGAGUAUCUAGUGUUUUGAUCCACAAGAUGAAGCAGAUAUAGUUGUCUGAACCUGUUCAUGGUUCAUAUCUAACUAAUUUGGAAGAAGAGGAAAGAUAUGAAAUAUUACCUUCUUUAACUAAUAUGUAGAGAGAGAUGAAAGAAAGAAGUGGUGAUCCAUCACUUCAAUACAAGAGAAGCUGAAACGUUACGUUUCUGCACAAACAUAAACACAAACACAUUAUCUACAACUUCAAUUGAAAAGGAAUCGAUUAGAAAUUGAAAACAAAGCAGAAGUUAACUUCACGCUGAUGCAUACCUCCACAGAGAUGAAAGUACUCCAUUGCUUGAUUCAUACAUGCACAGAGAUGAAAGGAAUCCAUUGGUUGAAUGAAGAACAGAGUAAAACAGAGAAUCCUGCAAGAGAUAAGAAUGAAAGCAGAGAAGUGAACCCAACCACACCUUUUGGCUAUCAGAGUCACAAUCGGUUUUACAAUUCAAGUAUUUGUGAAAAGAAUACAUGUGGAUUUGUUUUAUACAUGUAGUUUAAGUAAAAUUAUUUAAAAAUAAUUCUUCAAAAUAAAGACUCAGAUAAUACAAUUCAAAUAAAAUUUCGCACUAAAAUAUAAAUGUAAAUAAAUUUGCUCUUUCAAAAAAAAAUUUAAAAUAAAUUGCACACAAGUUCAAAAAAAUUAAUAUUUCUAAAAAUAAUUUUAAUUUCACAAGUCUAAAUAGAAAUAUUUAAAUAUAUAAAAUUAAAUUCUAAAUAAUUUUUCAGCGUUUAAUAUUUCUCUAGCAGAUACAAUAAUUAACGGGUAAGGGGUAUUUGUGGAUAAUAUGAUACCCUUAUCCUUAGAGUGAAUAAUUAAAAUAUCCAUACAUAUUAUUUAUGGAUAACUAUUAUUUGGAACGCAGUUUUUUCAACACUUUCUUUGAAAAAAUCUUUGAUGUUUGAGAAACUUUUACAAAAUCUUUGUGAAAGAAGAAAAAAAAAUGUAAACAUUCAUUAUAAGAAAAAAAAAAUAUUUAGAAGUUUGAUGUAAUGUUCAAAACUUUAAUUUGUUGUAAAUAUUUGAUUAAGUCCUAUAUUUUGUUUUUCAUGUAUACUACACCAAGUUUCCUUAACAAUUUUAUUAUGAUAAUCUUUUAACUUUUCUACCAAAGUAGAUACGAUGUACAUUAUCUUUUAUUACAUGUCUCGUGAAUUUAUGGUUGAUGGUAAAUAAUUGAAAUCUUUAUUAAUUUUAUUGAGGUACAUUGUCCAAGUUCUGUGAAAAUAAUAUUAUGCCAAAAAAUAAACAGAAAAUUUUCUUACUCUUGACUAUUUAAAAUAAGUGGGAAAUUUUUAAUAAGUUACACUUGUUAUCAAUCUUGUUUUUCAGAUUUUUUUCAUAAUUUUUUAUUUAAUCUUUGCUGGGUUUAUUAUUGUAGAGCAUAAAGAUAAUUUUGGUUGCAUAUGGCUAAGACAGUGAAAUGUUGAAUAUAAGUGAUUGCUGCAUUAGAAGAAAGAGGAAUGCCAAAUGGGCUAAUGUAACACUCAAUGCAACUCCUUUUUCUUUUUUCUCAAACAUAAUAUUGUUGGAAUCAUAUCCACAGAGAAACAUGGUGAACUCAUUAAGACAUACAUAAAAUAAAUAUAAGGUAUUACAAAAUGACAAUGGCACUCAUUGAAGGAAGGAACAUAAAAGAAAUGGUUUUUGUAGUUUUGUCUCACCAAGACCAACCUCUUACACAACAAUAAAUAAGAUAGCAAACAUACAACAAAAUAGAACAAGCAAAAGACAGAACAAUAUUCUAUAGUUGCAAGUCUUCCUUUUGAGUGAUGAACAAUUCGGUCUUUAAUAACAGUGAACAAUGAAAAUUCUCAUGAGAGAUUUCUAGCAGCCAUGCGAUUAUACUCAUAUUGACUACAGAGAAAUGACCAUUUAUAAGUCACCUCAAAUAACUUUUGUUGAACUUUUCUUUCAUCUUCCACCAUUUGAGACCGGUCUUUCCUCACAUUUUCAAGCUCCAUUUUAUACCCAAUAGUUUCUACAAUCCUUUUAUUUUUCCUCUUCCAGAGAUGAUAAGGCAUCCUCACAAACUUUUAUUUCUUCCUUCAACCUAAUGAUUUGUUCCUUCAAAACUACUUCCUUCAGUUGAGCUUCAUCAUAGAAAUUCCUUGCCUCGGAAAUUUUGGAACCAAGAGUAGUGGCCACCUCAUUCCCACGAGCUUCAAGUUCUGCUAACUUGUCAGUGGUAGCAAAGCCUUGCUUAAAGGAGUGUACAAUGCUUGGGAACUCUUGCUGCAUAGUGCCUAUAAUAUCUUUGAGUCCAUCUGAUAGAGUUACAUCUUUGAAAGGAAGGUUGGACAGGAAAUUAAGAGCAGACAAAAGGCUAAUGCUGUUAGUCUCAGAGCUAACUAUGUCCUUCAAAGACAUCUUUAUAUACUUUUCCAACUCAAGAAGGGUCUUUCCAACUAUGUUGUCUUCACCCUCUUUCCCCACAAUAACAGAUGCAUAUAAACUCAUGAUAUCACUGGUCCCAAAGUCUUGAAUAAUUUUAGAAUGGCCUCCACUUUCUUUAGUAGUGUGUGUCUCGGUUUGGCUGCUCCUAAUUUCACUCUUGGAGGAAUAAGAAGAAAAUAUAACAAAAAAGACGUUAGCAUCAAGCCACAACAGUUGUAAAGCAUUGAGUUCCUUAAACCAUUUUUUAUCAAAUCCUAUUUGUGAGAGUGAUGGUAACAAAUUCAUUAAAUUUAAAUUCCAACUUGAAAUUCAGUACCUUUUGUUUUUUAAUUCCACUCUUGCAGCAAAUGAUAAAUUAGAAUGGCAACAUCAUUUUUUAUGCUGACCAAAUAUGUUGGAAAUGUGAAUUGCAUAAAAUAAACUUACAUGUGGAUGUGAUUUAGUUUGCAAAGUAAAUAUUUGGUCCAACUGUGAGCUAGUGGAUUCGGAAUGAAUUGAAGAAGCUGCCAUACCGGUGUUCUUUGCUAUGGUUUCAUCAACAGCAACUCGCUCAAUAAUACUCUGCACAAGAACAAGAAAUAUGUAGUUUUGGUGUAUGCCGUUUUAUUUUCAAAAUGACAAGAUGUGUGUCAAUAAAAUGCCUCGGUUUUAUUUUGUUCGUCAUUUACCUGAGGAAUUUUGGGGCUACUUACAAUUUCUCCUAGUGGCUUUUGUUGGUUCAUCAAACACGGUUCACUAAUCCGUUGUUUGUCCACCAAUGCCUAAAGAAAGUAAUGAAUAGGUGUAAAAUCAUUGUAGACUCAAUACUAUUUUUUCAUCCAAUACUCGAAAAAAUAUUUUUAGACUCACAUUUGAGUGUGUUUCAUGUAGAGGUUUAUUCAAAUAACUUGAACUUGGCCUUUCAACUAGUUGCAAGUUUGUUAAUGAUGUUGUCGUUCUUGGUAUUUCUGAAGUGGAAACUUUUGCAACAAAUUCCUUCUCUGGUUCUUCAUUUCUUGCAGUCACAAUGCGGUCAUUGGAAACAACAGCUAUUUGACCUUCUUUGUCAACCAAGUUAAAACCUUCUUUGAAGUUACUAUUAACAUUAUGAGUCUUCACACUUGGAGAAGUUCUUUUGCAAUUUUCAUUAGGCCCAUCACCAUGUUCAACAGCCUUGGAGUCUAGUACCAUCUCCACACUACUAUACCUGUGUAAUAAACUUAAAUUUUAUGCUCUAUGCAUCCCAAAGAACAGAAAACUAAGAAACAUAUGGUAUCAAUCUUGUAAGAAUUGCAGAUACAACCACAAUGUAUAUAUAAACAGAAAUAGGAAAUCCACACAACCACAACAUAGAGAUAUAACUUCAAAUUCACAAAACACUAAUACAUUUUAUCUCCACAUUAACAAAGUCAUUUAAGACUCUUAAUUUCAUUCAUUCUUUACAUUAAGUAGUCAAGAAGUUAAAUGAUCAUACCUCUUAGGAUUCUCAUCCAUUUGUCUCUCUGCAAUGUCCUCUCUCAGCUUAGGAUUCCUCGUCAAAACAUGUUGACGCAUUUCAUCUACCCAUGAACUCUCAAAUCCAAUCUCAAUAGCUUCUUCGCAUAGUUUAUGAAACUCUUUUUCUCUUUGAGGAGUAACAUUAUCAACACUUUCCUUCUGAAUGAACAACAACAUAUCUGCCAAAAUUUUCAACCUCCAAGCUUGAAAGCGCUCACUAAACUUCUUGCAAGCAUUCCAAAGAUGAGGAUAUGUUGUUAUCGCCUCCACCAGAAGAUCAAUUUGUGCACCAUCCAAAUCAACAAAAUGUUUAUAUGUUCCCAAUUUUGUACGGAUAUCUGCAGAAGCUAUAAAAAGUUUGAAAAGUGAUAUGAAAAUAUAGGAUUGAAACAAGAAAAUAAGAAAUAAAAAACCUGGAGAAAUGUCAAUAUUGUUGUUAGAAAUAAUAUGUAUCUCCUCUUGUUUGUCCAAUAGGUUCAACCCUUCUUCUACUUGGAUUUCUUGGCUUGGCAUGAUUCCUCCCUUUCCUUCAUUCAUCUUAUCAUCUUGUUCAACAACCUUGGAAUGUUGUGCAAGUAUGUCCACACCACCAGACUCAAUGUGAGUUCCAACACCACCUCCAAUGCUAAUGUCUUCAACCCCAGUUGUUAAAGGUUUUGUCUUAUCACCCUCUGCUGAAGGCCCCUCUUCAAUGCUCUCAAUUCCUAUGUUUCCAAUCUCCUUUGUAUCACAAAUUAAGAAAAUACAAUUGAGUGAGAGUUUAUAAAGUUUGAAAGGACCACUAUUUUUAAUGUAUAUCAUGUGGUGGUAUGAGAGUAGUUUGAUAAUUUUUAAUGGUUUUGUUACUAUUGCUUCUUCAAGUGCAUGUUUGUCUUAAUAUCACCAAAUUCAUUUUAGGUUUAGUAAUUAUUGCACCUACAUGCUAAGGUAUUUUAUGCAGAGAAGUUUCCAUACAAAUUAGAGGUGAGUUUCUAAAUUCUAAAAGAGUAGUUGGUAUUGCUAGUCUCUCAUUGAUGUUAGAACUAUUUCAAUAAAUAUUGUCAGUUUCAAGAAUACACUUUACAAUGCUCAAGCUAAGUUUUGUAAGGUAACUCUCAUUGUGACUAUACUUAUUUCUUCUUCAUAUUUAGUUUUUAAUUUCAAGUUCAUUCCUAAUUAGUUGACAUAUGAUGAUAUUAUCUAAUGCAGUUCCUUCUUCGACACCACUCAAUAUUCUGCAAUCUGCAUAUAAGUCCAGAAGAUGUGAAACUUGGUAUCUGCAUAAUGUCAACCGAACACUAAAAAAAAAAAGCUUACAAAAAAUAAAUAGUUACUAUAUUAACUAGAUAUACUAUCUUAUAAACUAAAAAAUUAGUAGUAUCUAAAGUUAUUUAUAUUAUUAAUAAAAUUUAUAAAUUAGUUUCUAUAUUGGUAUCUAAUUAGCUAAAACCUUCGUAGCUAAUUAGAUAUCAAUAUAAACACUAAUUUAUAAAUUUAUUAAUAAUAUAAUCAACUUUAGAUACUAAUAAUUUUUUUAGUCUCUAAUAUAAUAUAUAAUUUAAUUAACAUAGUAACUAAUUAUUUUUAUCUUUAAAACUAGUUUUUAUUUAAUAAUUUUCUUGUAGUGAAAAGUAAUGAUUGUCUCUCAAAACAUAGGGUAUUAUUUUACGAAGUUUUAAUUUAAUUUUUUAAAUUUCAUUGUGUCACAUAUCUUUUUAAAACUUUUCUCAAUUUUUAUUCUAAUACCAAGAUCUUACAAAAUUCACACACUACUGGUAAGUCAAUAAAUACUAGUAUUAAAAGACAAAAAAUAAUUAAUUAUGUACUAUCUUAAAAAUUAAAAACAUUAUUUGUAUCAAGAUUACUUUUUAUUAAUAUUAAUAAAAUUUAUAAACUAGUUUUUAAAUAUCAAAUUAGAAACUAGUUUAUAAAUUUGAUUAACAGUAAAAACUACUUUAAAUACCAAUAACUCUUUUAAUUUCUAAAACAAAAUAUAAUUUAGCCAAUAUAAUAAUUAAUUAUUUUUUAUUUUAAAAUUAAUUUUUUGUUAAUAAUUUUCUUGUAGUGUAUUUUAUUUCAUUGCUAGCAAAAAUAUAUAUUUUUAAGAUAACAAAAUAAUUUUUUACUUUUAUGAUUCAGGUACUUAUUUAAAAUCUCAAAUCUUAUUUUUCUAUCACGUAAGUUUAAAUUAAAAAAAUCCUAAUAAUGAGAGAAAAAGGUUAUUAAACUUUUUUUUAAUUGUAUUUAGAUUCAUAGAUUGGUUGGUUCUGACCUGUGAUGAAGUCAACUCACUCCUACAACUAAUUCUAUAAUCUUCAUCUAAACUGUCCAUCAAGGGACAUAUCUCCCAAAACGAAAGUUCAGUCCUUUUGAAAUCUGUAACAAAAAAUACAUAAAAAAGAAAUGCAACCUCAGCUUUUCAUGAUGAAUAAUUAUAUAAUUACAAUUAAAUAUAAAAAAUGAUUUAAAAAGUUUCAUUAUAGCAAUUUUUUUUUAUCACCCACCAAAACAAAGGAUCGAUUGUUUUCUUUAACCGUUCUUCCUAAUUACAAUUACUAGAGCUUAAAAUUAAAAAAAUUCAGCAAAUAAUAAUUUACUGUGUUUAUUUUAAAAAAUUUAGUAAAUACUUAGUUGGAAAUUUGAAACAGUCCUAUCUGAAUGAAAUAGUUAAUUUGAAAAGAAAUAUAGUAUUUACCUUUAUAAGGAAAAGUUUUCUUGAGCUUCUCCAAAGUAGUUGUUGGAGUCAAAGAUAGUUUUGGACAUUCGUAGACAACACAAUUCUUUAAAUUGGGCAAUUCAAUCUCUUGGUUGAAGUUUGAAAGAUGCGUAAAUAUUAAAACUUUGAUUCUUGGAAGUUCAAUUUUUGUCUUUCCUAUCUCAUCACUUUUUCCUUGUCCACGUCCAACAAACUCUUCUAGUUCAGAGGCUCCACUUAUGAUUAAAAGAUAAAGAUUAGGAAAGUCAUUAGAUGCAGAUCCAGAGAUAAAUCUUUUGAGUUUGUGGCAAUGUCCAACAUACAAUGCUUCUAGUUUUGGGAAGAAUGCCUGAGGAGAAAGAAGAUUAGACAAUUUGUUAUCCUCCACAUCCUCUUCAAUGAUUACUCUUAAUUCUUUGCAUUUUCUUAUCUUCACAAUACUCAACAUUGGUAGGCAUCUUAAAUCAUACUUUGAAAAGAUUACUUCCAAUUUUGCACAUCCAAUAAAUUCUAAUUUUUGAAGAUUUGAGAAGAUAAGAGAAUUGUUUGGAGCUCCUUGUUCACAUCCAACAAUCUGCUUCAAUUCCAUGCAUUCUUUUAUUAUUAGCUCUUUCAACUCUGGUAAGCUUCUUAAAACAGAGGGAGGAAAUAUUACUUUCAAUUUUGCACAUCCUAUUAUUUUUAAUGUAGUAAGAUGUUGGAGAUUAACUGAAUUCUUGGAAGCCACCCAAAUAUAAGUCAUUUGAGGUAUAUUUUCCAAUUUCAAACGCUCUAACCUUAAGCUCACUUGUUGCCCAAUCAUUCCAUCUCCAUUAAGACAAAAAAUACCUUCUACUUCAGAAUUGGUUACAGAUAUAUUUUGCAAAGUGAGAAGAGGGUUAUGAACCCCUUUUGGAUCCUGCAGGACAUUCGUAGGAAAUGAAAAAACUCCAAAAAGAAAACAAAAAAGGAACAAAUAACUAAUAAUCAUAAAAAAAAGACAAGACUACCUUCUUACUUGCGUUGAUAGGUUCUCUUGAAUCUGCAGGAGCCGUCAAGCAAUUAAUAGAAUUAUAAAACGGAUAGGAACAUUUAUAACAAGUAAACUCCUUCAAAGAUGACCACGUCACGGUGAGAUUGUUGGUAGCACAAAUGCUAACAAAAUUUGGUAGAUUAUAAAGAGCGAGCAUUUCCAAUGCUGAGAAAUGAAUAUGAAUCUCCUCACAAUCCUGAUUAGCUACGCAAUAUUGGCCAAACAUAUAUUUCAAUUGCCCACAAUCAAUCACGAUGAGCUCUCUUAAGUUUGGGAAGAUUGCAUUCAAAUUCUCUUUGCCAUAUUCAUCCUCAGUGUCUAUAAUGUGCUCAAGUCCUUGACAUUGCUCGAUUCUCAAGAUUUCCAACAUCAAUAAUGAAGCAACGGACAAUUUAAAAAUGUACUUUACCUUAUCAAAGUCAUUCAUGUUAAUCUCUCUUAUGUUAUGCAUAAUAAGCAAGGUCAAACCAUGUGGUGGUUUUGAAAUAUAUUGAACAUUUUCAAGAGAGGAAAUAGAAUCUGAGUUCGAUAUCUGCAAUACAUACACCAAGUUACUUGUUAAACCAAACUAAUUAGUGUCUUAACUUUAAUUAUUAAUGUAUUUCAUUUCUAACAAAUAAUUGUUUAUGAAAAUAAAUUAUUUUUGUUUAGCACAACAAGAAAAAGUUGAAAAGAGAAUAAUUUCACAAAAGUAAUCUAUUCCAAAUAAUUUAUGUCAAUACUUAGAUAUUAAAAAUUCAUGUGGUAUAGUGCUUGUAAGACCAAGUUUUAUUUUUAGCACAAACAUGAUCGCGCAAUUCAAAUGUUUUGAGUAAUUUUUCUAAAUACAAGAAGAGAGAGACAAAGUAAGUGAUGAUAAUCAUACCUUGAUUGCAAUAUAAUCCUCUUUUCUAGCUUUUGAAGCAUAUGUUGAACAAUUUAUAGUGAAAAACUCAACACAUCUUCCAGUAAUCAAUGAUAGUUUUCCUAAAGAUGGACAUCUUACAUGAUAAUUUCCUAGAAGAGAGUUAUCCAUGAUACGAACAAGUUCGAGUAUUUCUAAAGCAGGAAGCUCAAUUUGAUUAUUAUUUUGUUGUUGCUCACAAAAAUUGUCUUCGAAAUUAUUUUGACUUGAAAGAUCUUUCAAAUUAGAAGCCUCUUUAUUUCCUAUAUCCAUGCCUCCAACAAAAGAGAUAGGGAACAUACAUUGCAACAAGUCACAUUCCCUGAUAUAUAGCGUUUUCAAACUCUGGAAGUUUGAAAUAUCACUCUGAAAGUCAUGGUCAUCCUCGACAAUGUUUUCCUUCUGUUGAUUGAUCCUUUCAUGAGUUACUAUAUGCUUCAAACUAUUGCACCUUUUUAUGAUCAACACUUCCAAAAAAGUCAAGGUCUUAGCUAUAGAUGCUGUAAAAAUUGAGCCUAACUUCGGACAAUCGAUUAUCGUAAGGCUUGCAAGGCUUGAUAAAGUUCCUGGAAAGCAAUUAUAAAUGAGAAAAAUAUCGCUCAACAUAUUAGAGUUCAAUAUAUAUAUAUAUAUAUAUAUAUAUAUAUUAUUUGUGUAAGUUACAUUCUGAUUUUAAAAACAAACGAUCGAUUAAUAAUGAUGAAAAGAAUCAUACAAAACAAUUUUCUUUAAAUAAUUAUAAAUUAUCUAAAAUGUUUUAAAUGCAAAUAUAAUUGUCUUUAAUUUUGAGUAGAGACAAAUUUUGCUCCUAAUGUAUUAACAAGUAGUUGGUUUAAGUAAAACUAGAUUAGUAGUGUCUAAUUUGAACCGCGUGAAUGAAAAAUAACAAAUUAGCAGUUUUCAUCUAACUUGUAAAUAACAUCAACUAAGCAAUAACAUGUAGACUUCUUAAUAUGUACGUGGGCUAUGGUUCAAAAUUGUUGUUAAUGGAGUUGAAGUGCUAUACAAAUGUGGAUGCUUACCUUCCUCAACGAUUUCAACAAGUUCUUCUUUUUUAUCCUGGUAUGUUAAUGGAUCAAUAUCCCCAAAUAUUUGAUCUAACAUGUUGCAUUCUUCUAUCUUGAGCACUUUCAAUUGAGCUAAGCCUCUUAAAACACUGGUCGAGAAUAUAUCUUUUAAUUCUCUACAUCUAUUUACCUCUACUUCCUGAAGAUUUUGGAAGAUUUGUACAGGAUGUCCAGUGGUGAAUUCACCUUGACUUUUCUCCGUUUUCUCAUCAUCUACUAAUAUAUGCUUCAAUCCAUCACAUCUUGUUAUAUUUAAGAUUUUCAAUUGUACCAAAUGUUGAGCAACGACAUAUGUGAAGAGAGAUGUCAACCGUGGACAACCACUUAAAUACAACAUCUUUAAGUUCUCAAAAGGCCCAUUGGCAGGUUGAAAACAAUGCCAUAAAGCUCUUAAAUUUUUCAUGUUUUUCAUUCUGAUCUUAUACAACUUGGAAAAGAGAGUUACCACCUUACUCGAAUGGUUACUUGUGUCAAUCAAACACUCUAUCUCUUCAGAAUUACGUAUAUCAAACUUAAUGAGCUCAUCCAAACCUCCUCCUUCAAUUUGAUAUAUAUCUGGGAUGAUAUUUUUUGCGUCUCCCUUAAUGUUGGCUAUAAAUAGAUCAUUUGCUCUUUUUGCCAAACUCUUAACUACCUCAUUUGAUAUGUCAAAAUAGUCAAGUAAUAAAGUAUUGUGAUGAGAGCUAAAUUCUUUAUAAAUACAAUUAUCAAAAUUACGGGAUCCUAAUACAAUUGCAUACCUUUGCAGUGUUUGGGGAACACUAAACAUGUUAAAGAAUUCAAUAUUGUCUUCAUUGUUAGCAUCCCAUUCUCCUUCAAUAUCGACAAUGUACAACUCUUCUAGUAGAUGGGUUCUUUUUAUCACUUCAAACUUCUUCCCUUUUAUGUAACAUUUGUACAACUCUAACAAUUUUAAGGUUGCAACAUUGGUUUGUAAUUCAGGAAAUGAAGGCAAUGCACAACCACGCAGUGAAAGACUUUGAAGUUUCUUCAUAUCGCUUACAAAUGAGAAGUCACUCAAUUCAUAAUGAGAAAUAACUAGACAACGAAGAUUUGUUAAUGUUUUUAAAGACAUUGUUGACAAUGGUGUUUUUCCAUCCUUAUCAUUGACUAGCAUCAAAACUUUGAGCCUUCCCAUUCUUUUGAAAAUUCCAUCCAAUUCUUCUAGUUUUGUCUUUAAGAAUAAAAACUCAAGAAUGGAACAAUCCAAAUCAUUUGGAAAUUUCUCACACCAUAGAUAUCUUACUGAAUUUUGUUCGACAAUCACAUCUUUUUUCACUUCGCACUUGAUGAUAUUGUUCUCAUUCUUUGCUAUCAAGUGGGCCACAUCGCGAACUAUGUCAUGCAUUUUGACAUAUUCACCCUCUUCAUUCUUUUUAUCCAACAAUAAACAAGAACUAACGAGCUUAAAUCUUGCUGCAAACACUUCAUUCCUUGCCUCCUCAUAAGAUUGUGUUUCUCCAACUACACCUAAUCCUAUAGCAUAUCUAGUUAAAACUUCAACUGGAAUUUCAUAAUCUUCAGGGAACACAGCACACAAUAGGAAAAGUGAUUUAGCUUCUUUAGUAUCCAAAUUAUCAUAGCUCAGCUGCAAGCACUUGUAGGGAUCAAUCAAACCUCUUUCAAUAUUUAUUGGCUCAGAACUUCUCAACUUAUUCAAUGCAUUACUCCAUAUCGGUAGAGCCUUUCCCUUCAAACUACUAGCAACAGCUGCAAUUGCAACAGGUAAUCCUUUACAUUCAUUGGAAAUUAAUCUUCCCAAAUCCUUUAAGGCAUCAGAGGUGCCUUCAGAUAUAAGUGCUUUCUUUUGGAAAAGAGUCCACGCUUCUUCAUCCGUUAAAAUUUGCAGGUAAAUCUUUCUUUGACAAUCCAUUGAAGUACAAACCUCUUCUGAUCUAGUGGUUAUGAGAAUCUUGC
This 44886-nucleotide long non-coding RNA is filed under the name Phaseolus vulgaris (common bean). RNAcentral describes it as "long non-coding RNA (PVUL_LNC003736)". Lineage: Eukaryota; Viridiplantae; Streptophyta; Magnoliopsida; Fabales; Fabaceae. The record is from RNAcentral.